Molecule: long non-coding RNA, 60264 nt
Filed under: Malus domestica (apple)
Lineage: Eukaryota; Viridiplantae; Streptophyta; Magnoliopsida; Rosales; Rosaceae
Description: long non-coding RNA (MDOM_LNC008613)
Source: RNAcentral
UUUCUUAAAACAUAUACUUGUAGACUCCGUAUCCCUAUUAAGUAUAUAUAUAUACUCACUUAGGUAUACUUAGUAUAAUAUAACAAUUAUUUAUGAAUUAUAAGAUAUCUUUAUAAUAAUAUAAGGAUAAGGUUCAAAUAUAAAACAAUAAAUAUAACAAUGAAUAACAGGUACAAAUAUUAAAUUGAGGUACCCAUUCUAUGAUAACUCUCAACAGUCUCCCCUCCAUUUUUGUGCCUUUAGUGGGCUUAGUAUUUCCGGCAAUUGCAAUAGCUUCUUUAUAUAUUUAUGUUAAAAAAAAAAACAAGAUUUUUUAGAUACAACAAGGACAUAUCUUAUUUAUUUAUAUAUAUAUUUAUGGUAUAAUAUGCGGCUUCCUUCGGGCAUAAGCUCUAAUGUAUGUGUAAACAUGAUAAAUGAAUUAUAACUAUUUUCAAAUAGAUUAGGAUCGAGGAGAAUUUUCUGAAAUGUAAAGUCAAUAUAUCUAUAUGUAUUAGAAAAUCAUAUGAAAGAGAUGUUAUUAUUUUAGUUUGGAUCUAAGAAAUUCGAUGAAUUAUCCCUAGGUUCACAUCAUAAUAGUGCUUGUUGAUGAAAGUUACUUUGGAAACAAAAAAAAAAAGUAAAAAAAAAAAAAAAAAAAAAAAAAAAAAAAAAUUGUUCUUCUCCCAAUUCCAAGAAAAUGCAACUAGGUCUAGUUAGAGUAUGAGUUGGCAAUCAUAACGUAUAUGGGUAGAACUUAUAGCGGGGUCUCGAAAAAACAAGUAAUUUAUGUUGGGCCUUUAUUCUUUUUUUUAGGUUCAUUAGGGUUUUUUUUCUGGUUGGAACGUCCAGUUAUUUUAGUAGGAAUUUUAUAUCUUUAUUUCCUUCUCAGCAAAUUUUUUUUUUCCACAAGGUAUCGUGAUGUCUUUUCUAUGGGAUCACACGUCUUUUUAUUAGCUCCUAUAUGUGGUGCACAAUUUCAUGGAAUGUAGGUAGUGGUUAUGAUCGAUUCGAUAUAAAAUAGGGCACAGUGUGUAUUUUUUGUUGGGGAUUUUCUGAAAAAAUCGUCACAUAUUCCUCUGAUUCCUUAUGAAAGACAUUUAGUCCAUCAGAAUAGAAAUUAAAGAGGGUAUUUAUGCUCGUCGUGUCCUUUAUUUGAAAAUAAAAUGACAAGGAGCCAUACCCUUGACUCGUACUAAUGAGAAUUUUACUCCACGAGAGAUUGAGCAAAAAGCUGCUGAAUUGACCUAUUCACUUUACCCUUUAUUUUGUCAUUUUAGUUAAAAUUCAAAGUUUUCAAACCAUUUUCAUUAGUUUUUCCUUAAUUUUUCUAUAUAGUCCAGAUUUUCAAUUCAAGAAAAUAUUUUUAUUAUAAUUUUUUGUAAUGGCCGGGGCUAGGAAGCCGUUCCCAACUGGAGAAUCCCAGGUCUGAAAUUUUCGUAUAUAAAGGCAAGGAUGACGAAAAAAAUACUUAACAGGGAUGGGGAUGACAAUGACAUAACUUAUGUAUAAUACUCCUUACAGUCAUCCCCAUUUUCAGAUGAUGAUCAAGAAAACCAAGCGUAAACUUUUUUUUUUUCUCCAUUUACACACUACAAUUUUUUUGUCCCUAAAUUCCUAUUUAAUUAACUCUUUCAAAAUACCCAAUUUAAAGAGGUGUUAUUAGCGACAGCUCCUUAUCUACUCUAAAGGAAAGAAAAAGUCUACUCUCCCCACCCUCCAUAUCAUAGGAUAACUACAAUUAAACUGGAUAUGAAUGAUGUGUCAUUAAAAUGUAUUGCAUAUUGGAUAUAGAUUUUUAAUUCAUAUCCAGAAUAUCUAAAACCCGAACCACCAAACAUGCUUAAUUAGAAGAAUAAAAAUAAAUUAUACAGACUAAAUUGUAAUUACACUUCUGAAAAUUAAAAAAAAAAACAUACAACCAAAAAAAAAAUAUCUCAAUGAGGGCACUGCAAUUAGAUCAACGAUCCUCAACUUCCAAGCCAUACAAAACUCCUUGACAGCAAUAAAAGUUUGAGUUGCAGUUUUGUUCCAAUAAGCUAGUUUUGAAAUACACAUCCUUGAGCUUCAUAAACGUUUGCAAAGUCAGCAGACUAUCGGAGCCAGCCUGGUGACUCUUUCCGGCCACACGAUCGACAUUGAGUGCAUUCGCCACUUUCUCGAGACCUCCAUGAAGCCCUUGGCAAAACCUAAUCAUGUAUUUGAUGUCAUACACUCUUUGUCCAAAGUACAAAUCCAUCAUCCACAUGAACCUCGUAAUGUCGUGCGGCAACACCUCGUUUAGAAUCUUGAUCAAGAACCCGAAAUCAUAAGCACUGUGGAAUGUCACCCAUGUCAAGUUGGAUUCCCUGGAGAUCAGACCGGAAUUCCUCAACAGAGAAGAGAAGUGGGAAGCGCUAAUACCAUUUUGCUUGUUCUCCAAGAAAUCGAUUCCUUGCCUCUUAAGUAACUCGAUUGAGUCCUUGUUUUGACAGUCGCGAUCGAUAUCAAAGUCCCUGAAGUUGAACUCCCAAAUGUAGCAGGUAUCAGUGCCCAAGUCCGGCAGGUUUCCAUGGCGGUCGGAGAGUGUUAGACCUAAUUGGAUUAUCUUGGUGGCGUUCACGUUUUCCCUCAUGAGGUGGUAUUUGGAUGCAGGCGUCUGUGCAGGAAUUUGGAAAACUGUCCCCGGAAAUUCGGUGUCUAGAGAGACGAAGGUGUAGUGACGAAUCAAGGCCGUAAUCAGAUGAAACUCGAAUGCUGCGUUGUGCUGCCAAACCCGUCGAAUCGCUACGCUCUUCAUAUUUUUGGAACUUUUUUUGUCCAUUGUUAUCGUCUUCUUUUUGUUCUUGGAUGGACGUUGAAUUAAUGUUAUGAUCACCAAGACGAUGCAUGGCUUAUAUAUAUACACACACAGAGUAAUUAAGUUUCUUUCCAAGAACAACUAGGAAAUAUAUGUUUUAUAAUAUUUCUCGCUAACUGAUCAUUGACGAAAAGGUUAAUUUACUUCAAAUAUUAGUUCCAGGUGAAAACAGGAAACCCAGCUGAAAAGAGAACAAACGACAAGAUGCAAUAAGGAAAGAUUUAAUUUCCUAAUUUCCAAUUGUUCCCCAAACAAAAGACAAAAAACAUAAAUUUAAUUAUUUCUCUUUCAUCGGUAUCAUAAUCAAGCAAGACGGACGGUCACAGAGUAACGGCGGAAAAUCAGAUUCCAUAUUGUUCACGAGCUGUGAAUCAUAGUGGACGUAAAUACAAUUCAUGUUUGUCUUCAAUUGAAACCUAUAAGUUCUCAAAAAGUAAGGCAAUUUCAAAUGGGGCGCAUAAUGAGGAAUGGCUAAAUCACAAACAAGUCUGUGGUUCAAAUACAACUGUGAGAAACAAAAUGGAACUUUGUGAUUUGGUCAUGGUUAGGGUUCUACAUGUAGUUCAGUUUGAGUCCAUCAACACUCCAACCAGGGCAACUGGUUGCCAAAGUUCUGGGGGCAAUGUAAUCGUGCCAAAAUUCCCGAAUGAGUUAGCGCUAGGGUGAAUCGUUUCGUGUGAGUGAAACCGAUUCUAGCUUCGUGACACUCGUAUAAAUGUGCAUCGUAACAUUCUAUGAAAAUGUUAAUCCCUGUGAAUCUCUUGUAGCUCUUAUAGUGUGACAGAUCACAACUAUCACUAGGGUUGCAUCUUGAGACUCCUCAUUUUGUACAAAGCAAGUAAUCAUGAAGAAAUUUGUGUUCAUUCCAAUUUAGGGACUUCUUUUGCAUAGAUUAGGGAAGACUCACAUAAAAUCUCUCUAGUUAAUGCAAAAACAGCUCCAAAAUUGUUCCAUAAGGAGCACCUAUGUUUUCUUCACAAGUAGGUGGGUUCUUGCAAUUCCAUAUAAGGUAAAUGCAAGUAUAUUUUCAUCACUCUACUGAGAAAAUAUUUCAACCAUGAGUAAACAUGGAAUUACUUGCACCUUGAACAAUCAUUUUUCCACGAAGGAUCUUAUGUCAACCCUAUGGUGAUAUAAGAACCAAAAUGAUGUUUUAUGGACAUUGUUCGAUUUGGACAAUCAUCCACUUCUCGGAUAAACUACGCAUUAAUGCUUUGUGAAUAACGGGCAUACACCAUUUUAUUACAAAUACUGAUGAGUUUAUAUAUAAACACCUCAAAACUGGUAUUUAUAUCAUUCUUUAUUCACAUACGUGUGUCAUACAUGCCACUACUUAAUUAGCGCAUAUAUGCACGAGAAGUUCAAGUCCAAUAUAUUGCAUUCUCGAUUACGUACGAACUGACGUCAUAUUUUUGCACUUUUAAAUGAAUUAUUUUGAAUUAUUAAUUAUUUUCAACCUUAAAUAAAUACCACAAUUAAAUAUAAAAAAAUUAUGGCUACGUUUGGUAUCGCAUAUUGUCUGCUUUUCUAUAAAAUCAGUAUCUAAUUCAAGGUUUAUUAAGUGAUUCAAAUGUUAUUUUCAUGAACUUUCAUGAGUUGUCACAAGUAUUUAUAUACAUUCAUCAUGAGUCACAGUUAGUGUAUCACAAAAUUCGUUAGUACUGUGACACACAUAUACAUUCUAAAUCAAACAACUUUGGCCAUAGCAAACCAAAAGUUCAUCUCCCUGCAAAGUUAACAUAUCUAGUUUCAAAAAGGACAUGCCACAAAUGAUUUUUCAAAAUGUGCUUAAUGGUUCAUCGAGCAUAUAUUCGUAAAAAGCGUCUAACACUUCUAAACUUCAUACGACCACAUCAUAUUACUAUUUUGAGUUGGCUGUGAAGUUGGCAUAGGAUGAACAUUUCAAUUGUAUCAGGUACAACAGGCAGCAGUGCUCAUCACGCCCCAAUCCCGAGAUACGUUUAGGAUCGACACAUGACGUCACCAUGUACCUAUUCAUCUAUCAUGCCUCGCCUCUAAGACAUGACCAAAAGCAAAAUAGCAGUCAACAGAGCAUUAACUUGUUCUUUUAUAUCAUGACUACAUCUAACCUUUGUGUUAGACUGCUUACGUACCUUAAGACAUGAUCAAACCAUUUGUAAUUCAUCCUUUUGUUAAAUCUGACAAUUUUCAUAAUAUUUCUAGCAGAAAAACUAGGGUUCCAAAAUCACUCAAUGGAAUCUGCAAGCAUGACUCACUAGAUUCCAGACUACUUAAUGAACAAUAUAAUAACCAGGAUUGUCAUUUUGGCUUUCAUAUGUCACAAUGUUUUCCAAUCACAAUUCCACAUUCAUAACAAAUAAUUGAUUCCAUGAAUCAAAGAUGCACACUAUUAACAUUUAACUAUGUUGAUCAACCAACAAGAUCAGCUAUGACUUCACUAAUUUUCAUAAAGACAACCUCUAUAAGGUUUGUCAUAUAUCCUAACUUGAAACCAAAGCAAUAGCAUUGUAACCCUAAGUUACAAACACAAACAUAAACAUAAACUUGAGCAACUUCAAUGCACAAUAAUCUAGGGUUCUAGACCACUCAACAUAACCAAAUAGGGAUAGGGAUUCCAGACCACUCAAUGGAAUCCAUCUUUAGAAUGUGUAUGGUCCCUCAAAUGCAGAUUAACCAAGCAUGUGACCAAGUAGGCAGUGACCCCCAAUACAGAUUAACCAGGGCGUCACCCCUAGAAUGUGUAUGGUCCCACAAUGCGGAUUAACCAGGUAGGACCAUAAAUAAGUAUCCAAAAAUGUGAUCCCCCAAUAUAGAUUAACAUGGUAGGAUCACCUAUGCUGUAAUCAAGUAAGCAGUGACCCCUUAAUGCAGAUUAACUAGGCGGAGUCACCCCUAGAGUGUAUAUGGUCCCUUAAUGCGAAAUAACCAGGUAGGACUAUGGGUAUGCUUCCAUAGUGUGAUUCCCAAAUGCGGAUUAACCAGGCAUAUGGUUAACUCACAAAUACUUUGUCGUCGAAGAGCCACGCAAACUAGAGAAGACGGAAACUAGAGGUGGACAAACGGGUCUAGGAACCGCAGGUCGGGGAGAGUACCGGCCGGUUCUUAAUUUUAAAAAAGAGAAACAGGGCAGGGUGGGGUGGGCCUUUGUAAUUUUUGGUUCAGGCCAGUUCCCGAAGUAUAGGAACCACGAGUACCCGGACCGGCCCGUUUGUAAUUGAAAUAAAAGGACAAUAUUGAAAAGAUCAUUUCUCCAUCCAAUCUUAACCAUUAGUUUUAGGUUUCCUCGUCUUCGACCUCGACUCUGUCACUUGACUCGAAUCCUCGAACUCGAUUCCGUCUCCCACAGUAUCUCUCCAAAGCCAGUGCCUUGUCGACAACCCAAUCAAUCGACGAUUGUUGGUGCUGCGAAGACUGGAGCAACAACUCAAUCUCACCAGUCACCCCUCUCAAGUCUUAUCGUCACCAACCAUGUCGUCGUCGUCGAAGAAGAUCACGCUUAAGAUCUCGGACGGCGAGUCGUUCUAGGUCGAUAAGGAGGUGGCACUGGAGUCGCAAAUCAUCAAGCACAUGAUCGAGGAUGAUUGCGCCAACAAUGGCAUAUCGACGCCGCCAAGCCCGAUGAGAAGAUCUCCAAGGACGAUCUCAAAGCCUGGGAUCAUAAUUUGGUUUGAUUCUAGGGUUUCAGAAUUUGGGGAUUCGGUUGGGUUAAGGUUUUUUUUUUAUUUAAUGAUUGGGGUCAGUUGUGUUGUUUUAGGGUCUAGGGUUACUGAUUUAGGGGUUUGAUCAAUGGGUUAGGGUUUUUCAUUUUUCUUCUGCAAUUUUAUUUCUUUAGAAAUUCAAUUUUUUUUAUUUAUUUAGGUAUUCAUUGGAUUUGGUCGAUGUGAAGCUAAUGUAAGGUGAAUGAUUACUGAUCUAGAGAGUUGGCAGUGGAGAUGGGCAGUUGCAGACCUUUUCGUGUUUGAUUUCGAGCGGUGCAACCAUGGGUAGUGGUGGGAGCUGUUCUUCUAGUUUAGGACAUAGUUUGGACUCAGCCUUAAGGACUAGUGAUGCAGCAUCUACCACCACUACACAAAGACAAAACCAUUACGAGGAAGCUCGGCAAGAAGAUGACUAAGACAAGGAUGUCCAGGAAGAAAGUGGUGGUCCAGACCCGGAACGAUCAAGAGAGUUAAAGAAGAAGAGAAGAAAAAAAAAACCAAGGACUCGUGGACCCGCCUCAAACCAGCCCGUUUCAACCGGGCUAGGUAAGGUCCAGUUCCUAUAUUAAAAAAUAUAAUCCUCGGCCCGGCCUGUGCCCAUCCCUAAUGGAAACGCCACAAAUAAUUGCCCUUAAGACAAAUAAUUGCCCAUAAGCACAUAAAGGGUCCAAUUAAUAAAACUCUUUUCAAACGAUUGAAUUUGGGAAAACGGACGUAAAAAACGGAUUCAAGAUGUUGAAUUAACCUAAGAAGGGUCUCAGGUAAAUUUCAAAAAAGUCAACAAAAGUCAACAAGAAUAAUAUUCCAGGAAUAUUCUGUCCGGUCACUAGGCUGGGUCAAAGGCUGGUCAACAGGCCGGGCCUGGGUCAAAGGCUAAUGGGCCGGCUUCUAUGGCCCAAAGGCAUGGGGUCAUUUGGGUUUGGGCUAGGUCUUAACGGGUUUUGGGUUUGGCUAAGUGGCCCGAGGGCCUUAGGUUCAAAUGACCCAAGGCCUGGGUUUAAUGGGCUAAAAAGCUCAUGUCAUCUCAGCCCGAAAGACUAAGGUCCAAAGGGUUGUAAUGGUUUGGGUUUUGGGGUUAAUGGGCCGAAGGCCUUAGUUGGUACGGCCCAAGGGCCUAAGUUCACAGGGACUUAGGCUUGGGGUUAAGUAGGUUGGGUAGGUCAUUUUUUGGUCGGCUGGUCUCGUCGAAAAAGAAAGUAGGAGCUUCCAAGCUCCGAUUAACCCACAACUCAGCAAAAAUCCAUCAACCCUUAUACUAAAAUAAAGUUACGAAGGAGAUGAUUAGAACUAUACCUAUCGGUUAGAAAAUGGCCUGUAACUUAUGGGGUUUGCCGAAAAAUAUGGAGAAUGCUUCCAGAGUUGUUCCUACGUUCAAAUGUUACCAAGGUUCUCAAAACCACCCUAAAACGUGAUCUAAAGGGAUCCUAGAAAGCUUACCUUAGUUGCACUGUCAAAAAUUUGUCGGUGACAUGCAAGCACAGUAAUUGUGCUCUAGUGCGGACCAGGAAGAAAGGGAAAGUGAUCGAGGGAGGGGUGAAGGAGAAAAUGAUGGUCCAGGGGGUGGUGGUUGUGUGUAAGUAUGUAAAUGUGGGUGUGUGUGUAGGAGUGCGUCAGAGAGGAACAGAGAGAGUCGACAGAGGUGGAAGGUGAGAGAGAGAGAGAGAGAGAGAGAAAGAAAGAGAAUAGAGAACCAAGAGAGGUAAGGGAGAAAGAUAAGAAGAUAGGCUGGGGGAACAACCCAAAAGUAAAUGGGGGCCCCUUGGGCACACCUAUUAAGGUAUAAACCAAUAUUUCAAACAAUUAUCCUCCAACCAAGAUGAAAUUACAACUCUGCCCCUUUCGUUCCGUAAAAAUCUGGGACGGGUUGUUACAUAUGUUCUUCCAAGAAUAUAUAGGCACAAUCUGCCUUACAUCCAGCUUUUUAGCUAUGCAUCUAGAACUCCAACCAAGGGUUCACAAUAUAAUUCGAAACUCCAAAAGAUUAAACCAUUGAAAGACAAGCGAGGAGAACUAGCCGAACUUGGCUAGCUCUGAAUCAAGCACACAACUUGAAGGCCAUUCUAGAGAAGUUAUUCUAGAAUGAUCCACUCAUGGUUUGUUGGUAACUACCCAUCUUCGAAGUGGAGUGUACUCUCAGAAGCAAUUAAGGGCAAUUGGGGACCAUGAUUAAUGGCAAGAAGGACCGGAACACUCAAAGCCCAAUGAGCAUAGUUCGACAAGCUAGGCUUAGGGCUAUUAAAAAGAUUACUUGUCUCCCAAUUAAGAAAACUCUAAUUAAAGUCAAACUAGGAUAUCUUAGACAUUAGGCAACAUAAUCAAGAUUCUAAGAGAACUGGGUAUCUUAUCAUAGAUUUCCUCCUAGAUUGUCUCCCGAUUUAAUGAAGAUUACCUUCCCUACAAAGACUUUCAAGAUCACUAUAAAUACAUGAGCAUAUGCAUUUAUAGGAGACACAUCUAUCUCUCUCUGAGAUUUCUAUAUACAUAUUCUCUUUAUGCCUAACAAAGGCCCUUUACGCCACCGUCUAGGCGUAGACAUGUCCAUGGAGAACUCAUGUUCUUAACGCCCUGCCAUAGGAUAUUCGGCAAGGAUGGUUCGCACCAUUAUUCCUUAGAACUACACCCGUGGUUUGGUUCUCCUUCCAAGAAAUAUGUAGGCAGUCUUAUUGGGAAUUAACCACACCCCUAAUUAACCUCAUUCUCCCCUUACCAGAGAUUAGGGGCAAUCUCGAUGAGUUUGGCCUUCAUCCGCGGAUGUGAGCGGAUUGGUUCCAACAUUGAGCUUUGCGCCCAACGACAUGUAUUAAAUUUAUCUUCUCUAGUUGGUUCACCUAACCGUCACCUAGAAACCAUCUCCCGAAAAUGCAAAGUGUUGAUCCAUACGACCAAACACUGAGAUGACUCUGCGAAAUGAGAACUUUCACUCUGCAAUGCUCUGCGAAAUGAGAACUUUCACUCUGCAAUGCAAGCUAUGCUAAUGAUAAGAAAUCUGACGGGCCACUCAGAAUAAAAAAAUGGCUCCCUCUCCGAGGAAAUAAGAGUCCCCGACGACUCUUCUCACUCCAUAGAUGGUGACAUGGUCUUAGUAACUACAUCAUUAAGGCACUCCGUGGGCAUAGUUGGUGGCAAUUGUGGGAACCCAGUUUGCACCUUCCUAGAGCAGUGAGUAUUCGAACCCACUCCAGGGCUCCGACCUAGAGUGAACUUAGCAACUAAUCAAUAUGAACUCAGCAACUAAUCAAUCUACCAACUAAGGGUGCAACACCUUUGGUGGUUCCCAAUACAAUCUCACAUGCCCACUUAGGACGAAGUGGGUAUCAAAGGCACUUUGCACCAGGUUCAGUCACACUCCCCUUUUUGGCGCCAAUUACCUCAUCGCAUCCAGACUCUUUGACCUCUGCCACACUAAAGCUCGGGCAAAGCAAAUCACAUGGGCGACGUCACAGGUGAUGCACAUUGAGGCAAAUGGCACUGACCUCAGGCGACUGUGUUAAACAGUAGAGACCCUUGAAUUGACAUAGUCAAGUGGCUGAGAGGUAAGCUCCCACUUUCGCACAGUCCCUCCAUGAUACCACCGGUCCCCAAAAUGGCUCAUUCAUCGUAUAUAAAUAGGCAUCCCGACUCCUCACAAAAGGUUAGACAAUAUAAACUCAACUUAUACACUAACUACGCAUUUUCCCACCUAAAUCUAUACAUCACUUGAUCAUCGAAGUACCUAUGCCGGGAACCACCCUCCCCGAUGCUCGACUUCACAAUCCUUUGUUUAUCUUUGUGUUUGCAGAUUCGAUCAUCCUGCCAUGCACAGAAUCGAGACCUAGGCAAUAUUACCUUGGUUGAGUGAACUAUUCCAAGCAUGCAAGUGACUUGUAGUUUAGUUGGUUAAGAGUCUUCACCCUUACAUCUAAGGUCUCCUGUUUGAAUUCCCCUCCCUAUAGUUUAAUAUAGAUAUCUUGUCGUUUAAUAUAGAACAUUAGUGUGUCGGGUCGUGUUUGGAAAAAUAUCUCACCUUGCUGAGAGUCGUGAGACCCAACCAACACAUGAGACAUAAAAAAAUGAGUGCAACAUGAUCAAACCCAGCCAACAUGUGAAAUAUGGGAGGAUGGGUCUCACUUCAUGAAGCCCAAUCAAUCUGUGAAAUGUAGGAGAUAUUAUUUUAACUUGGUCAAACCUAUCAACACUUGAGGCUUACAAGAAUAGAUGGGUUUCCCUUAGCCUCACCUACCUUAGACAUCUCAAUUAAAGGAUUCAAGUGGAGUUUUGAUGGAUUUUAAUGGAUUCAUAAAAUCAAGAAAAAAAAAUGAAAUGGUUAUCAAACUGCCGAUUAGUUUCUAAUAGGAUUAAAUAUAUGCACACAUUGAGAAUCAUGACAAGUCUAAUCAAAUACAUUGAAAGAGACUCGUAACCCUUUUUUAUUUUUUAUUUUUUUUUUUGAGAAAAUGUAUGAUAGUUGUUAUCAAAAGGAGUAUGUAUAAUCAAUGAGGAUAAGGUGCAUACAAUAAGCCUCGAUAAAAACCUUAUCAUUUAAGUAAAGCACAUAAUCACCGCUUAGUAUUAUGAUCUAAUGAUAUUCCUCUUCACUUGAAUGUGAAAGCUCUUAAGUUUGAAUCUCAUGGAUGGCUGAUUCGAUACCAAACUAGGUUACCCAUUGUGUGGCUUUGCCGAACUCUCCAUCCUCUUAAUGUAAAAAUAUCGAUAUACUAAAAAUAAAAAAUAAAAUAAAAAAAAUAAAUAAAAAAAAAAAGGGUAGAGCACAUAAUCUGAUAACAACAUAUGCCUAAUUUUCUUUCAAUCCAAAUAAUCAUUAUAGUAGAACCGCAGUGUUUCCAUACUACAAAUAUUAUGUAUAUUUGACCCAAUCAAUAUUAGUUCACCAACAGAAUAAAAUGAACCACAAUCACUUAACUGUGAUUUCAAUUUUCAAUACUCUAAUGAAAGGACAAGUAAAAAAAAAAAUUAACUUGGCGAAAGGAUUAUCAAUCUACAUGCUAAAGAAUUUUCAAUUUUCCAUGGGCAACUGAAGUCUUUGCAUGCUCCAAGCUACACAACGCUUUUUGAGUUCCGCUCAACCCAGAACAUGAUGGACUGCCUCCUAAUGUGACAGCAAAGUAAAGGUAAAUGGUGCAGAGGAAUGUCAGGAGUGCUAGGGCUGUUAAGAGGAAGCGGUGUCUCUGAAAGAGCGUCGACCAGCUACCCAACUCAUUUUGUGAGAAUUGCUUUCUAAAUGAUGCUGACUUCCGAACAGGAGAAGACAAAAUGGUGUCAAGAACCAUUGUAUAAUAUGUACCGACCUUCUUCAGACAACCUGAAAUUUGCACAAAUGUGUGUUCAAUACGACAGCUAAAUCAAUUGCUACUGCUAACAAUACACUGAAUUGACAAUGGCCACAAAAGACGUCACACAUAGAGAUCAAGGACAGUUAAACAAAGAGAUCAAGAGGAUAUAGUUGAAGAUACAUGACCAUACCAAAAGUAUGACUGAGUUUAACAAAUUUGUCUUUGUUUAUAAUCAACAACAGUUGCAUUUUGACUGGAUACCAUGAAAAAAUACCAAGAAGAUAAUCAUACAAUUUACAAGUGAAAUUCUCCAGCCAUUUUUCAGAUGAGAAAUAUGCCAACGAGAAGCAUUUCCAACAAAUGCAAUUAAUACCCUCAAACAAGUGAGGGUGUGAGAGAAUUAUGCUGUACGUGAUACUCUCCCAUACUGUAAAUACUUCACCUCUAUUGAAGAUGGACAGGUACAACUACUGAGAGUUCAUUGAGAACCUAAUGAUAAAAAUAUUUCAUACUACCCUGGUUGUUAUGACAAUAUUCCAGAACUUGACACUUCAUCUUUGACAAAGCAAAGGCAGUGCAGAAGAAGAACCAUUAUGAAGCAAGCAAUUCUGAUAGCAUUAAAAUAAACUUGCAAUACAAAGACAAUGUGUGCUUUCAUUCACCAGAGAUACAUCAUGAUUAACAACAGCUGACCUCAAUUUAAUAACAGAAAACAAAUAAUUCCACCUUGAAGUUUAGAAUGCGCUUCAUAUCUCAAAAGACAAUAAUAUAAUGAGAGGCAGACAUGAACAGAUGACUUUACAAUGAAAUAUGCGUGAGCCUGGUUUUUGAAAGUUAGUCCUCAUUUUCCAUAAGAUUAAUAAGUUGCAAAUCCCUCCCAAUUACUCGUACUAUGAAAGCUACCCCUAAUAAUCAAGAGCCAUCAACUUUCUACUGAGCUAAAGCAGCCUAACCACGUCACUGAGGUCAACAAAGGAUUUCCAGAAAGAAGCAUUAAAACUAAUACUGGAUCAUAUGGGUGACAGUGGAUUAGAAGACAACAAAAGAGCCUACUGGCUCAAUAAAAUAAUAAGCUCAUGCAUUAGCAAAUAAUAAAUACAGGUUUUCCUCGAACAGGAAAAAUGCAUGAGAACCAUACUUCUUGAAAAGGAAUUAGAAAGAAAGCUAACGUCUGUAGAAAUGUCUUUGCAUGCGUUUCAACCUAUUGCAACGUGUAAGGGAACACAACAUUUGCAAAACCAUACUGACUUACAUAUCUACAAAAGGGAAUCUUUGAAGGAAAAUUGCAUGUAGAAAAUGACAUAGGCUUGAAAAUGAAAAUCUUUCUCCAACUUUACUAUAAACACUCCAAAAAUCGCAAAGUGCAUCCAGUAUAUUAUGAGACCAGAAACAUUAAAAAUGCAACACACAUACAUCUACCAACAAUAGAAAUUCGGAACUCACAAGGGUUGACUGAAGAAGAUAACUGCUGCCACGUAGGGGCACACAAAUAAAUAUUCUCCUUUCAUAUCCAUAAAGCUAAAUACAGGAGACGAAAUUCUAAAACUCUUCAGAUGGCAGAUUGGCCCUAACUCAGAAAAGAAAAACCUCGUUCUGUGAUUACAAGCGGGUCUAAUUUUGUAUAAUAUCAAAGCAGAUAAUUGGUAUAUUUAACUUACUGAAAACAACAAACAACAACAACAAAGCCUUUCCCCACUAAGUGGGGUCGGCUAUAUGAAUCCUAGAACGCCAUUGCGCUCGGUUUUGUGUCAUGUCAUCCGUUAGAUCCAAGUACUCUAAGUCUUUUCUUAGAGUCUCUUCCAAAGUUUUCCUAGGUCUUCCUCUACCCCUUCGGCCCUGAACCUCUGUCCCGUAGUCACAUCUUCGAACCGGAGUGUCAGUCGGCCUUCUUUGCACAUGUCCAAAUCACCGGAGCCGAUUUUUCUCUCUCUUUCCUACAAUUUCGGCUACUCCUACUUUACCUCGGAUAUCCUCAUUCCCAAUCUUAUCCUUUCUCGUGUGCCCACACAUCCCACGAAGCAUCCUCAUCUCCGCUACACCCAUUUUGUGUGUACGUGUUGAUGCUUCACCGCCCAACAUUCUGUGCCAUACAACAUCGCUGGCCUUAUUGCCAUCCUAUAAAAUUUUCCCUUGAGCUUCAGUGGCCUACGACGGUCACACAACACGCCGGAUGCGCUCUUACACUUCAUCCAUCCAGCUCGUAUUCUAUGGUUGAGAUUUCCAUCUAAUUCUCCGUUCUCUUGCAAGAUAGAUCCUAGGUAGCGAAAACGGUCGCUUUUUGUGAUCUUCGCUAGAUUGCUCCGGUCAUUAGUGUGGAUAAGUAUAUAAAUGGAUAGAGAUAGGAAAGCAAACACAAGAUGUACGUGGUUCACCCAGAUUGGCUACGUCCACGGAAUAGAAGAGUUCUCAUUAAUUGUGAAGGGUUUACACAAGUACAUAGGUUCAAGCUCUCCUUUAGUGAGUACAAGUGAAUGAUUUAGUACAAAUGACAUUAGGAAAUAUUGUGGGAGAAUGAUCUCGUAAUCACGAAACUUCUAAGUAUCGGAGUGUGGUGUCGUCUUGACUUGCCUUAUCUGUCUCAUAGGUAGAUGUGGCAUCUUCUCUGGAAUUACUUUUCCUCCAUCCAGGGGUGGUAUCUUUAACUGGUGGAGAUGCACAAGGUAAUGUAUCAAUUUCACUUGAAGCUUACUUGUAGUUUCAGGCUUGGUCAAGCGCGAUACAAACCAUGUAGUAGGAGUCCCCCAAGUCGCCGAGCUAGGGGGUCUGCUGAAAGAGGUGACAGACAAGGUAAGCAAUCAGAGCUCCGACUGAUUGUUCACCUUCUCCCCAUCUUGCAACAGCAUGAAGGAUAAAGAGAAGAAAAAUGAGAAGAGAUGAUAUGAGAUACUUUUGCUUUUGAAGAAGUAACUUUCCACAGGCUUAUUCUUGAACUGAGCUGGAGGGUUUUCUGGUUUCCUCCAGAGUAUAAGGCCGACUGAAGAAUUUGAGGGUCAAAACAAGUCCAUCAAAUCUAGAGUACGUUCCACCCUGCUGAUAUGGGAUACUUUUGCUUUUGACAGAGAGUAAUGGAUGUAUCGGCACGUGUGCUGUUACGCUUGUCUCCACAUGCUUCCUUGUAUCCUUCGCACUUGCCCUAUCUGUUCCUCAAGCAGAUGCGGAAUCUUCCUUGGAAACAUAAGAUGUUGAAGAUGAGUACUCGAGAGCAAUGCCAGGUAAGUAAUCAGGUAAGGGGUUCCAGGCAGUCAGUUCCUGGCUGGAAGCUUGAUUCCAAGUGCUGACUGAUUGCUCUCUUUCUCCUUGUCUUGCAGGUAAAAACAAGGCCAAAGGAAAAGAUAGGGAAAAAGCAUGAUAUGGGAUACUCUUGCUUUUAAACCCUGAUGAUAUGAGAUAUUCUUGCUCUAGUAUAGCUUGUUUGCAGAGGUAUUAUCGGGGGAAAGAAAGCUGAAUAUUUCGAAAGGCUUCGUUGGGAGUGCCCUCUCAGAUAUGAUGAAGGGUUGAGCAUUUUUGCAGGUCUGCCUGUCCGUUGGGGAUGGAGGUUGACAUAUAUAGGCGUCUCCCUAACAACAAGUAGUAAUGCUAUUCCUUUACCCUGCUUGGUCAUAGCACGGUAGUGGGAGCUGUCAGUUUCACAUGUUUUAACUCUUUUCAGAGCACUUUGAAAAAGUGGUCUGUGGUAUCUGGCUCUCGAGAUUCGGAGAACGAUGCCUCUUCGAUUUUUGAGAAAGCAAUCAUGCUGGGGGUCUGGCUCUCGAGAUUCGGAGGGCGGUGCCUCUUCGAUUUUGGAGCAAGCAAUCUUGUUGGGAGUGUUGUCUCGAAUUUGAGUAAAGGUUGGGCAUGUUUGCUAGUCUACCUUGCCACGAAGCACAAAGGUUGACACACAGGGACUUUCCAAUUAUCCAGCAAUGGUACUGUUCCUUUACCCUCUCUUCGAUUUUGAGAAAGUAGUCAUGUUGGGAGUCUGGCUCUCGAGAUUCGGAGGACGGUGCCUCUUCGAUUUUGGAGCAAGCAAUCUUGUUGGGAGUGUUUUCUCGAAUGUGAGUAAAGGUUGGGCAUGUUUGCUAGUCUACCUUGCCACGAAGCACAGAGGUUGACACACAGGGACUUUCCAAUUAUCCAGCAGUGGUACUGUUCCUUUACCCUUGUGGGUAAUAUUAUUAUGGUAGCUAGACCUUCAAAAUUUAUGUGUCUAAACUUUGUUAGUGCUGUUUCUUUGCUAUUCUUUUACCUUUCUUGGUCAGAGCGAUGUAGUGGGAGCUGCAAGCUUCACGUGCUCAACUUUGGCAGAGAGAACUUUGACAAAGUUAUCUGUGGUACCCAUGAGCUAUUGUUGCGUGUGGGAAGUGGUGGGUAAUUGAACAGUAAGAUUCAUGUGCUUUCUACUUCACUAGAAAUCUUCGACAGAAUGCCCAUAAUUUCUGCAAAGCUGAGUGUGCGUGUGACAGGUGCUGACAAGGCUAGAAAAGUAGGUGCCUCUUCGAUUUCUGAGAUCGGCCCUCGUGGUCUCUGAGCAGCCCAGCUUUUGAGAAAGUGAGCGCCUCUUCGAUUGAUUCGGAGAACGAUGCCUCAUCGAUUUUUGAGAAAACAAUCAUGCUGGGGGUUUGGCUCUCGAAGAUUCGGGGAGCAGUGUCUCUUCGAUUUUUGAGAAAGUAAUCAUGUUGGGAGUCUGGCUCUCGAGAUUCGGAAGGCGGUGCCUCUUCGAUUUUGGAGCAAGCAAUCUUGUUGGGAGUGUUUUCUCGAAUGUGAGUAAAGGUUGGGCAUGUUUGCUAGUCUACCUUGCCACGAAGCACAGAGGUUGACACACAGGGACUUUCCAAUUAUCCAGCAGUGGUACUGUUCCUUUACCCUUGUGGGUAAUAAUAUGGUAGCUAGACCUUCAAAAUUUAUGGGUCUAAACUUUGUUAGUGCUGUUUCUUUGCUAUUCUUUUACCCUUCUUGGUCAGAGCGAUGUAGUGGGAGCUGCAAGCUUCACGUGCUCAACUUUGGCAGAGAACUUUGGCAAAGUUAUCUGUGGUACCCAUGAGCUAUUGUUGCGUGUGGGAAGUGGGUGAUUGAACAGUAAGAUUCAUGUGUUUUCUACUUCCCCAGAAGUCUUCGACAGAAUGCCCAUAAUUUCCGCAAAGCUGAGUGUGCGUGUGACAGGUGCUGACAAGGCUGGAAAAAUAGGUGCCUCUUCGAUUUCUGAGAUCGGCCCUCGUGGUCUCUGGGGAGCCCAGCUUUUGAGAAAGCGAGCGCCUCUUCGAUUUCUGAGAUCGGCCUUCGUGGUCUUUGAGCAGCCCAACUUUUGAGAAAGCAAAAGCCUCUUCGAUUUCUGAGAUCAACCCUCGUGAUCUCUAAGCAGCUCCAGCUUUUGAGAAAGCAAACGCCUCUUCGAUUUCUGAGCAGGCGCCUCUUCGAUUUCUGAAGCUCCGUCGAGUGCAGAUUUUUAUAGGGGCUGGCAUUAAGUUCUAAAGCACACUUGAAUCUCCACCAGUAGAAGCUUCAUUUUUGCACUUCUAAGAUCUUGAUUUGUCCGACCUCUUCUCUCUUCAACACCUUUGAAAAUGUCUGGCCCCUCCGACCAUCGUUUUGACUUGAACCUUGUUGAAGAGGCAGCCCCGCCUUCUCCAGACAACAUAUGGCGCCCAUCCUUCGUCUCCCCUACUGGUCCUCUUACCGUUGGGGAUUCCGUGAUGAAGAAUGAUAUGACCGCUGCGGUGGUGGCCAGGAACCUUCUCACUCCCAAAGAUAACAGACUACUUUCCAAACGGUCUGAUGAGUUAGCUGUUAAGGAUUCGCUGGCUCUCAGUGUUCAGUGUGCAGGUUCUGUGUCUAAUAUGGCCCAACGCCUAUUUGCUCGAACCCGCCAAGUUGAAUCAUUGGCGGCUGAAGUGAUGAGUCUCAAACAGGAGAUUAGAGGGCUCAAGCAUGAGAAUAAACAGUUGCACCGGCUCGCACAUGACUAUGCUACAAACAUGAAGAGGAAGCUUGACCAGAUGAAGGAAACUGAUGGUCAGGUUUUACUUGAUCAUCAGAGAUUUGUGGGUUUGUUCCAAAGGCAUUUAUUGCCUUCGUCUUCUGGGGCUGUGUACCGCGUAAUGAAGCUCCAAAUGAUCAACCUCUGAUGCCUCCUCCUUCUAGGGUUCUGUCCAGUACUGAGGCUCCAAAUGAUCCCCCUCCGGUGCCUUCUCUUUCUGGGGCUCUACCGACUGCUGAGACUUCUCCUAAGCAACCUUUGUGAAGGCUCCCUCUUGUGUGUUUAUUUUGACUCAUGUAUAUGUACAUAUUUGUAGCUUAUCGGGGAUAUCAAUAAAUAAGCUUUCCUUCAUUUCAACGUAUUAUUGUGUUAAAUACACCAAAGCCUUCUUCGCUAAGUUCUUUGAAUUUUCUUUUGUUGAAGCUUGUAUGUUGAAGCUUUCUGAGUGGAGCAUGUAGGUUGGGGUAGUGUUCCCUUAAUUUCCCGAGUGAGGAAAACUUCUCGGUUGGAGACUUGGAAAAUCCAAGUCACUGAGUGGGAUCGGCUAUAUGAAUCUUAGAACGCCAUUGUGCUCGAUCCUGUGUCAUGUCCUUCGUUAGAUCCAAGUACUCUAAGUCUUUUCUUAGAGUCUCUUCCAAAGUUUUCCUAGGUCUUCCUCUACCCCUUCGGCCCUGAACCUCUGUCCCAUAGUCGCAUCUACUUUCAAGCAAGAUUCUGAAAAUGCUUACCUAAUGACUGGAUGUUUGAGGAGCCAGUAAAUCCAAUGUAUCUUUGUACGCAUUGGCUGCUCUGUAAUUUGCUUUAAUUAAUAGACUUGUGCUUCUUAUGAAAAUAAAAAUAAUAAUAGUGACAAGCCAACAUUGUUUAUAAGUUAAACUUAACCAGAAAGCCAGGUUAGUUCCGCUUCAAAUAAAAUACGAAUUCAUAGCAGCACCAUGCAGUCAAGCGAAUUGUCACAAUCAAACUGAACGAGAAACACACUUAAAACAACAGGCACAAUCCAACCACACACAUCACCCAUCCCUUGAAAACAAUUCCAAAUUAAAUUAGCGAAUUUGCGGGGUUUUGUGAGAUCCCCAUUCCCAACAGCACAUCAUGCCCCAAAAACAUGGAAAUGGCAGCAGCAUUACCAGUGAUCUGAGGGGCAUUAAUCUAAUUCACCAACUCAAGAAUUGACCUCCCACCUAAUGUUAUUAUCUCAAAGGAGCUAAAUCAGGAUCCUUUUUCGCUUUCACGUUGUUCUCACGAUGCAAUUACAACAACACCUCAGACGACAAAACCACUUGACAUUUACAAUCAAGAAUCUCUAAAUCAAACCCACAACCCCAAAUCACGCCAUUCUCACAAAACCCAUAUCCAUAAAAACUCUAAUUAAAAGAAAAACAACCAUCAAUUUAAAAAGAGGACAACAGAAAAAAGCAAACCAAAGAAAACCCAGGUAAGCAGGAGCUCAGAUCCGAAGGAGAUGAAAGGGAAAAGACGAGGGAGACUUACAGAUGAUUGGAUCACGAAUUUUCUUUUUCUUUUAGUUUUGUUGCCGUUUCCGUUGGGUCUCCUGAGUCGUCGUCGUCGUCGACUUCUCCCUUUUAUUGUGCGAAGGGAUCAGAAGAGAUGAGAGAGAAAGUGGGGUGUUUUGACCACAAAUAGAUCAAACAAUAAACAAUAAACGACACAAACAGAAGGUGUUUUAGCGCCUUUUCUCAACGCUCGAGGGCCGUUUUAGGGGUGGUUUGGGUAGGCCUGGGCAAAAAUUACGGAGAACCGAACCCGGGCGGUUCGGUUUUUUUUUCGGUUCAUUUCGGUAUAGGUUCAAAAUCGGUUCGGUUUGGUGCUUAGUCGGUUCGGUUUCGGUUCUAUGUUUAGUACCGAACCGUACCAAAUCAGUUUUUUAAUAAAAAUUAUUUGUUCACGUGGCUUGUUUCAAGUGGACGACCACUCCUCCACUUUUAUCACUCUCAGACUCGGACUCUCACUUUUCUCACUCUCGGACUCUCACUUUUCUCAAUUGCCGAAGUCAUUAGGUCUCUCUCUCUCAAUCGCCCGCUCCACCUCCUCCUCUCCAAUCUCUCACGAUUUCACGGUCUCACCUCCACCACAACCAUCUUGACAUCGUCUUCUCUCAUGGUAAGUCAAUCUCUUGAAUUUGUUUGCAUUUUAUAAAAUUAGGGUUUUAAUUUUUAGAUUCAAAUUGGGAUUGGAAUUGGGGUUUCUCUGAAAUUCAAAUCUCUUUCGGUAUAAUUUUUUUUCUUGUGAGGUGAUUUCUGAUUGUGCAUAACUGUAACCCUUUAGGACCGUAGAACUUGUAGUUCAAGCAGCCUUAACUUAAGUGUUUCUAUCUGGGAUAACUUGUAGUUCCUGGUUAGGUUUAUGUUGCUCGCCAAAACAGAACUAAUUGAGGUUUUGCAUGAGCAAUCAAACAACAUACAGAUUGUGGGAGUUAAAUUUAUUUAGUUAUUUCUCCUUAGUAUUUCUUUGUGUGAUGAAUUUGCAGUACAAUUGUUUGUAAUGUAAUGGGGCUGCUGUCAAUUUAUUUGUCAUUGUCUAUUUAUUUGUCAUUGUCAAUUUAGUAUUUCUUUGUGUGAUGACUAUGCAGUACGAUUGUUUGUAAUGUAAUGGGGCUGCUGCCAAUUUAUUUGUCAUUGUCAAUUUAGUAUUUCUUUGUGUGAUGACUGCUGCCAAUUUAUUUAGUUAUGGAAUCGGAUGGUUUUGAGUAUCUCAUUAUUUGUAAUGUAAUGGGGCUGCUGCCACAGAACCAAAUCAAUCCCAUCAUUUGUAAUGUAAAUAUUGGUGUGAUGACUAUGCAGUACGAUUGUUUGUAAUGUAAUGGGGUUGCUGUCAUUAUUUUUUUGGACAUAAUGAUUCACAAAUUGAUAUUUUUGUAUUGAUUGGAUGCAGGCUUCGGACCGUGUAGAUUCUAUAGAUGAUGCAAUUGAUUUGGAAUAUGAAUCGGGGGGAAGCAAAUGUGAGGCCGAAAGUGAAGGAGAUCAAGAGGAGGUAAGUGUCUCCCAACUCCUACAGGGUAAACGUAGUAAGGUUUGGGAGCAUUUUAGGCCUUAUCAAGUUAAGACCCUAAUAAGCCUCAAGGAUCGAGAAGGGAAUGUUGUAAAAGAUGAAAAUGAUGAACUGGUAAUGGUUCCACAUGUAAGACUUAGGGCUAAAUGUGUCUAUUGCCCGGAACAUACAAAUGAUGGUGACUAUGCGGCUGAUUCAAGCACUAAUGAUACAUCUGGAAUGAGAAAACAUCUUAAUCGACAAUGUAAAUAUUAUCAUGCCAACUUAAGGAAAAAUCAAAAACUUCUUUAUGAGGAGAAGAAAGGGGGUAAAACUUUGGUUAAUAGGGAGUUUAACCAAUCCGAUUGUUUGGAAGCAUAUGUGGAGAUGAUUGUUCUUGAUGAGGUACCCUUUAGUACCGUAGAAAAGAUAGGGUUCAAUAGAUUUUGUAGUGUUGCAUGUCCAUUAUUUCGUGUGCCUUUUAGGAGGACUCUUGUUAGAACUUUCCUUAGAAUGUAUGCACAAUCUAAGGAUAGUUUGAAAAAGGAAUUGCAUGCGCACCGAAUUUCUCUUACCAUCGACACUUGGACAAGCACUCAAAACAUCAAUUAUAUGGUUCUCACCGCACACUUUAUUGAUGAUGAAUGGAAUAUGCAUAAGAGGAUCAUUAAUUUUUGUCUUAUUGCUAACCACACGGGAGCCACAAUAGCUAAGUUGAUUGAAACUUGUUUGUUGGAAUGGGGCAUAGAUAAAGUGCUCACCAUCACGGUGGACAAUGCUUCCGCAAAUAAAGUUGCAUUGGAUCAACUUAGGUCAACGAUGAAUAGGUGGGAAAAUUCACAAGCCAUUUUGCAUGGGGAGUAUUUACAUGUGAGGUGUGUCGCUCACAUAACCAAUUUAAUUGUGGGUCAAGGGAUGAAAAGGCUAACCAAAUGCCUCUUAGCCAUAAGAAAUUGUGUGAGAUUUGUGAGGAGCUCUGCACAAAGGUUAGAGUAUUUCAAGCAAGCCGUGUUUAUGGAGAAGUUAACAUGUAAAGCAAGUGUUUGCUUAGAUUGCUCCACAAGAUGGAAUUCCACAUUUCAUAUGUUGAAAGUAGCCAUAAAGUUUAAGAAGGUCUUUGCUAGGAUGGGGGAGGAAAGUGAUACUCCUUUUAGUGUGUAUUUCAAAGAAUUUGAAAAAGGAUGAAGAUGGAAUAGUAGUUAUUAAAGGUCAAAGAAGGGUUGGACCACCAACUGGAGAAGAUUGGGAAAAGGCGGAGGUGUUUGUUCGGUUUUUGCGGGUUUUUUAUGAGGUGACAUUACGGGUGAGUCAUUCUUUGAUCCCCACGGCUCAUACCGCUCUCCAUGAUGUUAUCAAAAUAGAGACGGCUAUCAAGAAUUUGGUUCCCCCACCCAAUGUGCAAACUGGUUCACCAAUAGAGGUACUUUUAAAGCAAAUGGCAACCGACAUGAGAGCAAAGCAUGACAAAUAUUUUGGUUCUUACCUUCAAUUGAACAAUUUGCUAGUGGUUGCUCUUAUUUUAAAUCCAAGGUUCAAGUUAAGGCAUGUCACUCACCUCCUUAAAAAGCAAUUAUUGGAAGUUGAUGUACAUUUGAAAACUAAGGAGAUAAGAGAUGUGUUGGAUGCCCUUUACAAAGAAUAUGCCCCAAGGGUUGAUGGGGGGAAGCACAUGAAGGUCCCCACACCUCCUCGAGAGCCUUCUUCUACUUCACGUGUUGUUGAAUCCUUUGAAGAUGAUUGUGUAGAUGAUUGGAUUGAUUUUGUAGAAGAGAGUGAGGAGCAAGUGGUGGGAGAUAAGGUGGAUUCAUAUUUGUUGGAUCCUUUGGAGAAGGUGGGCAAAGAAACCAAGGGUGUUUUUAAAAUUCUUUCAUGGUGGAAGACUAAUGGUUGCAAAUAUCCUAUAUUGGCGGCCAUUGCAAAAGACAUAUUUGCUAUUCAAGCAUCUACCGUGGCUUCGGAGAGUGCUUUUAGUACCGGGGGGGGAGUAAUUUCGGAUUUUAGGAGUUCUUUAACUCCUAAAUCGGUGGAGGCCUUAAUUUGCAUGCAUAAUUGGAUGAGAGGUGAUGGUAUUAUCACCUUAGAAGAUGAUGCACCUUCGUUGGAGCACUUAGAGUUCUACGAAAGUAUUGAAGUGGGUAAUUUCUUAUUUCUCUUCUUAGUUCUUGUUUGUUAUAAUUUUUUAGAUUUUAUUCUUUGUAUUUACAAGUUGUCUAUAUUUUUGUACUAUUGUAGAGUUGUUGACAUCAAGCAUCUCUUCUCUCUCAAUUAAUAAUCCGGAAUAACAAGCGUCAUCUUCACAACCUCUUACCCGACCUUCUCAAGCAUCCGCUUCACAAGCUUCUACCCGACCUCCUCGAGCUUCAAAAGGUGCUCAAUCAAAGGUCCCUUCAAAGCCUCACAUACCUCUAACCAAGGGUGUCAAGCGUAAGGCCCCUAAAGGGUAAUUGCUUUUAUUUUAUAUGAAUUGAACUUAUUAGUUAUUAAGGCAUUUAGUUUGAUGUUUGCUAUUACAUUUGGGUUGUAUUAAUGCCAUAAGGCUUUGACUUGAACUUUGAUUUUUCCUUUUGGUUUGUACUAAUGCCAUAAGGCAUUUACUUGAACUUUGUUGUUGGAUUGAAUUUGUUUAUGUUUGAUGUUGUUGAAUUUAAUUUUUUGAUGUUUGAUGUUGUCGGAUUGAAUUGUUGAUGGGAUUGAAUUUUUUGGAUGUUUUCCCCAACCAAAUGGUCAUAUUUUACUUUGGCAAAGGGAAGGAGAGAGGGAGAUUGCAUAUAUAUAAAGCUAGCAUAUAUUUUCAAGCAUCCUGAGCAUAAGUAAGGUAUUUUCAAGCAUUUUUUUUUGGGCCAAAAAUUGAUUUGGGCCAAAAUCUGUUUGUGAAUCUGGCCAAAAAUUGAUUUAUGUUAAUUUUGGGCCAAAAUUUGAUUUGGGCAUUUUUUUUUACAAAAUUUGAAAAAUAGGCCUUGUUCCUCAUAGGCCCAAAACCGAACCGAACCUAUACCCAUACCGAACCGAACUGAACCUAUUAGGUUCGGUACUACAUCGAUACAACCAUUCAUACCGUACCGAAAGUUUGUUACGGGUUCGGUUUCGGUACUACCUCGGUACCGAACCGUGCCCAAGCCUAGGUUUGGGAGUGAGGUGCUUAAAAAAAACACUCAUGAAAAAAAGCUGUGAGGGUUUUAGGUGUUUGGUAAAUUGAAAAAAAAUGGCUUAUUUUGGAAGCUGCUGUGAGAAUAAGUUGAAAUCAAAGGAAAAAGCUGAAGCUGCUAUUUGUAGCUUUGGAAAACUGGUUUUUUUUCAAAGCACACGGAGCUACAUUGCUCCUUCAAUGAAAAGACUCAAUAUCAGACUGCUUUGUUUUUCAAAAGCACUUUUACAAAAAAGUUUACCAAACACUCUGCUGAUUUUUUUCACAGCCGCUUAUUCUCACAGCACAGCCGCUUAUUCUCACAGCAGUUUUUUUUCAAAGCAUAGCAAUACCAAACCAGCCCUUAAUAUCCUAGAUAGGCGCAUCGCGCACAGGCGUUAGUGCGUUUUCCUUCCUUUCAUUGCUAUCGCUUUUGCUUAGGGUGGUGCUAUCACUCGUUUUGCUUAGGGUGGUGCUAUCACACGUUUUUUUUUUCACCUCUCAGAGCAACUUCACCGUUGCAAAUGCCCUCUACGGCUAUUCACUAUUUAAUUCACCUAGUAAACAAUAACUACCUUUUACAUCUUCAUCCAUACACUAAAUAGCCUUGGCAAUAUGCAAUAAAAUAUUAGUAUUUUUUAUAUUUAUAAAGUAAUACAAAAUAAUUUUAUUUGUAAUUUCGGAUAAGAUUUUUAAUCGUUUUCGUUGCGCCACGUGUCAUUAUCCGAAAAGACAAUUAUUGAUGAUGGACUUCGAUAAGAUUUUUGUCCAAUGUUGUCGUGCCACAUGUCGUUACCUUUUCAGAAUCGUUGAGGAUAGAUUUUCGAUAACAUUUUUAAUCAAUCAUGUCGCGCCACAUGUCACAAUCUGUUUACAAUCUUUGAGAAUAGAUUUCGAUUAGAUUUUUAACAAAUGACGGCAUGCCACGUGGCAUUAUCUACAACCUAAUCCUUUCUGAAUCCUCCAUAUAAUCCACCAUCCAUCCUCAUAAAUCUCACACCAAUUUUCUCAAGAUUUCUAUCAUUAUUCAUAGUUUCUGCUUCAUUCUUCACCAAAAUCAAAAUCUGUAUUAUUAUUCAUAGUUUCUGCUUCCUUCUUACAAUGCCUUCUUCUUCAAGAAUGAUGUGGGAAAUCGAUCAGCAAGAGGAAUAAUUGUUUAACCAAUCAAAAGGAAUGCUCAAUCUCCAGGUGGCCCAAAAUGAGAUGGAAGAUGAUGAGGAGCGUAGAAUGAGGGAUGAUGAAGUAAGAAUGACAAGAGCCUCACAUUCCCGUCGAGUCAUCCAAGCUGUGGCUCAGAUCUGCAGGCCCAGCCAUUCUGCAAACCUUGAUAGAAGCAGGCAAAGAUGAGGUACGGAUCACUUGGACGAUUAUUUUGUCUGUAACAGUGCAUUCCCUGAUACGUACUUUAGACGUCAUUUUAGAAUGAAACGACAUUUGUUCAACAAAAUCAUGAUUGUUGUUUGCAACCAUGAUUCUUACUUUGUGUAAAAGAAUGAUGCUUUUGGUGUUAUGGGUCUCCUUCCUGAGCAAAAAACUAAUGCUGCAUUGCAGAUGCUUGCAUAUGGAGUAUCUGCAGACCAAGUGGAUGAGAUAGCGAGGAUAGGGAAAUCAACCAUUUUUGAGUCCCUUAUGAGGUUUUGUGGAGCAAUCAAAUCUAUCUACACCGCCUCCAGAGACCUACUGAGAUGGACUUGCAAAGGCUUCUGAAGAAGGUCGAGAUGCUAGAUUUUCCUGGGAUGAUUGGAAGCAUCGACUGUAUGCACUGGACCUGGAAAAACUAUCCAAGUGCAUGACAAAGCGCUUAUGGGGACAGAAAAUGAGCAAAAAGUAUCAUUUUGGAGGCGGUGGCAUCUUUUGAUACAUGGAUCCUUUUUCGGGGUUCCGAGAGCACAAAAUGACCUCAAUGUCCUUGCCCAAUCCCCAAUGUUCAAUGAUGUCCUGCAAGGAAAAGCACCAAGAGUCACGUACUAGGUCAACAGACAUAAGUACUACAGGCCAUACUACCUAGUAGGCUGCAUUACCUAAGGUGGUCAUCGUUUGUCAAAACAGUGCAACAUUCGCGAAGUGCAAAGGAAAAACACUUUGCAAGCUGUCAAGCAGAGUGCAGAAAGGAUGUGGAUCGUUGUUUUGGUAUCCUCCAAUCUUGUUGGGCAAUUGUCAAAGGUGCUGCCAAAAUUUUGAUUUAGAGUCGCUUCGAUCUAUCAUGAUGACAUGCAUCAUUCUUCACCACAUGAUUGUGGAAGAUGAGUACGAUUAUGAUGUUGUUGAUGAAUAUGAGCCAGACACGAUGACCAAUUCCAGAACACAAAUAUAUUGUGUUCAUGACGCCACCGAAGAACCCGUGCAACAUGAGCCAUUAGAAAGGGAUAAACGUUACAAUGAAAGGCUCAUUCAACGAUAUACUGCCCUUUAGGAGCCAUAUAUGCACAAUGCCAAGCAAAUUGACUUGAUAGAGCACUAGUGGGAAUUGAAAUAAGCUCAAGAUACUUAAAUUCAUUUAGUGUGUUUGUUUUUAUUUGGUGUGUUUAUUUAAUUUUAUUUGGUGUGUUUUUUAAGUUCAUUUAGUGAGUUUUUUUUUAUUAUUUGGUAUGUUUAUGUAAUUUUAUUUGGUGUGUUUUUUAAGUUCAUUUAGUGAGUUUUUUAUUAUUUGGUAUGUUUAUGUAAUUUUAUUGGUGUGUUUAUGUCAUUUGAAUAAAGAUUGUCUUAGUUUAAAUAAAUUACCAAAUUAAAUAAAUAUACUCUUAGUUUAAAUAAAGUACUCUAUUCAAUAAAUAAGAAAUCACAACCCAAAGUGAUUGAAAAAUUAUGGGCUCCGAUUACAAACAAAGUGAUUGGAAAAUUAUAGGCUCGUGAAUGGAAAAUCAUCACCUAACCAAUUUGUGGUGCUAGGAUCAUCUUCUCUUGUGGUGCUAGGACCAUUUCCUCUUGCUCUCGCUUCUCUUGCAUGCCUCAUUCGCAUCACGUCCGCUUUCUCCGAAUUCCAAAAAUAUUUAGAAUUCGGAGACUUCCCUUCUAAAGGCGUGUUCAUUAUGUCACGAUCUCGUUGAGCCCUUCUUUCUUCUAUAAUAUCUUCCCUUUCUUGCCUAAGUAGCUCUCUUCUCUCUCAUUAGCUUGAAAUUCUCUCUCAACGACUGCAGUUUUUGCCUCCUCUCUAGCUUAUCAGCCUCAAAUUUAGCCAUUUCCCUCACCAAAGUCAAUUCACCUUGGCGAGCAAGUUCUUCCAUAUACUUUGCAUAUCAUUCGUCGAAGCACUCCCUUUUCUCUUUGAAGCCUUCUUACCUUGAGGCCUAAUUGGAUAACGGGUUGACCCCAACGCUUGUUCAGGUGGGGGCGUUUCGGGCACUUCUUCUACGUCAUCUUCAUGAACGACAUGAUCGGGCGUAGAGUGUAGAGGGGUGCUGGUCAUGAAAACUUCUGGACCGACAGACACAACUCUAAAUUUAGGACAAUCUUUGACAAUAUUCCAACAUUCCCACCGGUUGAAUGAUUUGUUUUUGCUUUUGGUUUUGGCAAUAUACCAAGCUUGUGCUUGAAGUGUCUACACAAUGCGGGAGAAAAAAUAAUUAUAAUCAAAGUAGGUAAUGUAAAUUUGGGUAUAGUACAAACAAAUAAAUAAUAUAUUGUUACCUGAUCCGCUAAAUUUUCCCCACUUCGAAGAAUACCACUAGCUUGUGCCAAGGUGUCUCUUCACAUACUAAACGAUUGGCUGAGUAUUCUCCAACGACUUGACAUCAAUUCUUUGGUUCUUUUCCCACCAAUUUUCUCAAGAUAAUUGCAUGAAUAAGACUAUAUUUUUCGCAACUGCAUCUCAUUACCCGUAAUCGGAUCAUGAGUAACUUCAACCCAGCUAGUACACAAUGUAACAUCUUCAAUAAGCAUCCAAUUUGUACUUGCAUCAUUAGUCAUUUUGUUGGAAAAAAAAUUGGAUUGAAACUUCGAGAGAAAGAUAGGAAUGUGGUUGAAACUAGUUGACAAAAUAUGAAAUUGUGGUGUAAGGUAGAAGAUAAUGAGAAUGUAUUUAUAGAAAAGUAAAAUCAUUUUUUUUUCGAAUUUUCAUUAAUUUUUUACAUUUUUUAAAUUUUUUAUUCACAUAAUUAAUUUCUGCCGUUGGAUUAAAAAAAUUUGAAUUCCAACACUCCAGAUUAUGCCACGUGGCACAACGGUAAGAUUUCAAAAUUUUAAAUUGUUUUUUUCUUUUUUUUUUAAUUUAUAAAGCCGAAUAACGUGGACCGUUGAUUUCAGAUCCAACGGCUGAAAUUAAAUAAGGUUUUAAAUUUUUUUUUACUGUUGGAAAUCCAACGGUCUAUAAAAUGUUAUCGUUGAAAUCCAACGAACGUGGGGAAGCCAUGUGGCUUCCCCAACGGUAACAUUUCAUAAAAGCACCACGGGCCCCAUGUCUAAAACUGUGUCGGACGAGGCACGCCCAUGUACGCUUGAAGCGCACGCGCCUGACCCAAAAAAGAGAGAAAACGUGGCUGACGUCGCCCUGAUGUAAGCCUUGCAUCAUACCCAUUCCAGGCUUUCGGGCUAGCGACUCCCCAAGGGCCUCUCGCUCGAGUCCCCUUUCAUCCACACACUUCUGUGGGCUGGAAUGACACACCCUGACCCGCGAUGUCCACUAGGACUCCGAAUCGAGCUGUGCUGGCCGACACCUGGAAGGUGACGAAGCCAUAAAGUAUGAUAAUGUGGAAAAUGUGAAUAAAUUUAAACCUAAAAGUGCCUAAAAACCAGAGUGCGCUGGUGAGCAAGAAUGAACCCACUUCAGACGUGACGUUAGAGCAUAAGUAAGUACAGUAGAGUGGAUUAAGAAUCAUACCCUCCAAAGAAAUCUCCAAUACUAAGAUUUGCCACGAAUCCUUGACGAUAAGAAAGCUUAGCUAAUAAAACCUGAAGGGUGAAAACAAAACAAAGGUGAGUGGCCCUAGAAAUAAAAUUUUUAAUAGAAGCCUUCUAAAACGUUAUAACCCCUCGAUGCAACACCUAUAUAGUUUCCAAAAAAUCAUAUCAUGUAUCAAUGUGAAAUAAAAAAUAUAUCAACAAUAAUUUCAUAAAUAUACCACGACACAACAACUCAUCAGUAAUAUAAAUAAUCAUGUGCUUAAUAAUCUAUAUUAGCACGCAAGUCGGAGUCACCUAAUGUGACCUGUACGACUGCACCUAUAUCUCAUCAAUCAACGCUAGCACAUAAGUCGGAGUUACCUAUAGUGACCUGUACAACUUAUCCAUAUCCCAUCAAUCAACGCUAGUACAUAAGUCGGAGUCACCUAUAGUGACCUGUACUACUUAUCCAUAUCUCAUCAAUCAAUAUCCCAGUAAUAUGUCAGCCGGAUCAACCUAUUGUGGCUUGUACAGCUGAAUCCAUAGCUCAUCACAUAUCCCUGCACACGAGUCGGAACCACCUUUUGUGGUCUGUACGACAGGCUGGGUGUAAAUAAUUACGCUCAAGUGCUACAAUUACGUGAAAGUUGUGCAAAGUAUCGCAAGUCAUCUACGAGUCGAAACCACCUAAUGUAGUCUGUACGACAAGCUGGCACCUACCUUGAAUCCAAGGUGAGCGUGUGGCGCGGGAGGUGAACAAUCAUGUGAAGGCUAGGCCCUGUCCUCGGGAGAGAGCACUAACACCGGGGUGCAGGGUUAUGAGCUCUAAAUGCAUCUAAUAUGGCAUGUACGACUCAUAGACAACCAGUACGACAAUGUCGGAGUUGCUUAAAACAUAAAUAUAGUCAUGCCAUCACUCAAUUGUUCCAAAUAAAAUGUAAUCAUAACCAUAUAUCCCACAUUUCACAACAUAUACUCACCUGAACUUAUCUGUGCAUCCUGCAUUCACCUUUGUACUUUAAAGCAUUCACAAUAAUUAUGCGCAAUAAAAUACUUAUGGAUAUGCCUAAUGUAAUCCAAAACUUAACCAUAUCGGAGUGCUUCCAAAUAUAUAUAUAUAUAUAGGGAUGUGAUAUCCACACACCUCAUUUUACUUCUCACACACCUUUUUAAUUUUUGGCCGUCAGAUCGGAUGAAUUGAAGAAGAUCAACGGACAGAAAUUAUCAAGGGUGUGUGAGAAGUAAAAUGGGGUGUGUGGAUAGCACACCCCUAUAUAUAUAUAUAUAUAUAUAUAUAUAUAUAUAUAUAUAUAUAUAUAUAUAUAUAUAUCAAUAAUGUGGCGUAAAAUACACAAUUUAUAACGCCCUACUCCCGAACUAUUAAUUGUCAGGAAUAAUUAUCAGUGACAAGCUUAACUAUACACUAAUUUGACUAACUAUCAAUUCUUAUGAUUCUUUACUUCAAUUUCUCGAUCCUUCACACAAUGAUUUAUGACCAACAUCCAAUCACUACGUCAUAAGGUUAAACCUCACAUUUUCCACCAAUGUCCCUCACAUUGCACAAUUUCCCAAACAAGGCUAUUGUCUCAAUUAUUUAGUCUCAUUUAUGGUAUGGCUACAUCUAACGUCUGGUUAGACUGCCUACGUACCCUAAACAGGGAUCAAGCCAUUUGUAGUUUGCAUUAGUACUUCAAGGCAUUCACAGUAAUUAUAUGCAAUAAUCAAUUUAUAACCGUUUGUGGAAUUAUCAAUCAUAUAUAUAUAUAUAUAUAUAUACACGAUAGAAAAGAAAAGACCCACUCACCUGAGGCCUACACUACGACUCCCUAGCACACAUAUCGAGACAUCACGAACCAUCGUCGCCUAGAACAAUUAUCAAAUCACAUCUUAGAGUUCUUACCAAUAGAAUACAUAAUUUACAUAAAACACAUCCCUACGUAAUUCAAUUCGGAAGAUCUGUAUCACAGAUUUCCGAUCCAUUUCUUCCAAAGAUCCACAUUAUACUUCUAGAACAACAUCAUAAAGUUCCAUUACAAUCUAACGGUCGGAUCUUCGCCAAUUGCCAAAACCAUGUGGUGGUUAACCUUUUAUUUUGUGAACUUACAAAUCCAAUUUGGGAAGAUCCGUAUAUCGGAUUCCCGAUCCGUAAGUUCCUAUGGUCCUCAAAUAUUACAUACUAUAACAUAUUAAAGUUUAGUGACGAUCCAACGGUCGGAUCGUCAAUUCAUAUCUUUACCAAGUAACGUAUCCUAAUGAGUUUAGGUCCAAACGAUCAACCUACAAUAUACAAUUUCCAAAACUAAACUCAAGACAUCUAAUUUAGCCUAAGGAUAACAUCAACCGUCUCCUGACCACUCGCCGCCGCGGGUGGCGGUUGGCUGUCCCGACUCGUCGGAAAAUCCAACUAUUUCCAAAAAUUACCAAAAUUUACAGGAAUGAAGAUCUCAAUGAGUAGAGUAACUUGCAUACCUAUGACCGAGGCCAAAUAGGCCAGGAAGAGCUUCAAUUUCAUAAAAACCCAUCAGAAACCCUAUACUUAGGUGUGCUCGAUUCGACCUCCAAACUUGCUCCAACGCCUCCACCACUGCCUGGGCUUUGUUCCUGGGUUCUAGGAGAGUGUUCUAGUGGUGGUAAUUGGCUGAGUUAGCUUCACAUUUUGUGGAUUGCCGCCGUACACCUACACACACCACCGGUGCAUUUUUCCUAAAAUUACCACCAAAUUCCUUCUAAUUUUGGAUGGAAAUGGAAGAAGGAAGGUUAGGAAGAUGUUUCUAGGUGGUGGUUUGCUUUGAUUUGCCAGAAAAAUGACCGAAUAUGGCCGUGGUGCUUGUUGGGUCGAGCUGGUCAAGGGGAAACUCGGUUUUCCCCUUCACUUUCUUCUCCCUCCUUUCCCCUUUCUCUGGUUGGUCACCUUCUCCUCUCUCCUCUCCCCAUUCGUCCACCCUCUCUCUCUUCUUUCUAAUUGGGCAGUAGCCCUUCUUUCUUCUCUUCUCUUUUUCCCCCCUUCUUCUUUCUCUUAUUCUUCCUCUUUAAAAAUAACUAAAUGAUAAAUAAAUAUAAACAUUAUAAAAAUAUAUAAAUAGUGACUAAAACAAAAGUACUUCUUGAGUUUACAGUUCCAUAAAACUUUAACCGUAACCCCAAAUCCUCUUCUGCUUGCGCCUACAAAGCUGUAAUGUUGAGUACUUUAGGAAAACGCUAAAGGAUUAAUUCAUACACCUCACUAUACGCUGAUCAACGAAAGUCAAUGCCCUUACCUCUACGGGCAUUUUCGUAAAAUCAUGAUUUUAAAAUUAAUAAAAAAGUAAAAUUUAGGACGGGUUGUCACAUGGAGCAUGCAGCUCGGGCCAUUGGGUUGGUGGGGAAGCCUGUCCAUUAGGCUAUUUAGCACGGUGGAGGUGCUCUUAUAUAUUUUCUCAUAAUUUAUGUUUAUUAGUUUUCUUUAAUUCAUUCGAAAAUUGACAAAAAAUAUGAAAGAUAAAAAUAUGGAUAGCAUUAAAGAUUUUAUCAUAUGUAAGAAUAUGACACUCAUAUGAAAAAGUGAAAAGAUCCAUGCAAAAGUUGCUAGCACUCCCUUUUUCUUUAUUAUAUGCAAAAACUGAAAAGGAGAAUCAAACCUAAACCGUUAUGAUAGAGUAAAGAUUUUUAACCAAUUGGAACUACAAACUCUUUGUUAUCUCAUUUCUUUGAAUAAAUGAAAGAUAUAUUGAGUUAUAUGGACAUUUUUUUUCAUUAUAAGCACAAACCGAACAGAGAAACUGAACAAAGAACCUAUUAUGUAAAAACAAAUAUUGUAAUCACUUAAACUACCAGUCCUUUAUUAUAUAAUAGUAUUGAAAAUAUUGAAAAACAGAAGAUUUUUUGACACACCCCGUCCCGAAGGAGGGCAUGCUGGCCGUCACGUGAGAGUGACGUAACCAUUUACACAGUUCGGAAGCUUUAAAAAAAUACAAUUACUACGAUGAAACACCCGAGGGUGAGUCAUACUUUUGUGAAUUCUGUCAGAACACUGUUGGAUUCCUCGUGGCCACCAAAGCUCUGCUAUCUAGAACCUGAAGGGGCGCAAAACAAAGUUAAAUGGGUCAGUAAAACAAAGUUUUUUGAAAACAUUUCAUUUAAAACAUUUCUAACCCCUCGCUGUAAAACCUGUAUACUUUCCCAGAAAAUAACAUAAUAACAUAUACCUUCAAAUAUCUCAAAUCAUCAAUCUUUAUCAAAACCAGAAAAUAUGCCAUGUCAUAAUGUCAAAAACAGAAUAUGGAUGCAUCAAUAUAACAGGUGAAAUAAGGAAUCAACCGGAGACCCUGCAGUUGGUCCUGUACGGUUAAUUCUAUAGCUCAAUAUCCAAUCCAACUGGAGUCACCACGGUGACCUGUACGGUGUUACUCUGCACAUAAGUCGGAACUACCAGAAGUAGUCUGUACGACAAGAAUGGUGUAAUAAUACACUCUAGUGCUUCUCUCAUCAAUCAUCUGUGCACAUAAUCUAAGGUCACCUACCAGUCGGAACCACCUCUAGUGGUCUGUACGACUAGCAUGUCGGAACCCUCUCAUGGUCUGUACGACAUGCACCUACUUGGAUCCAAGGUGAGCGUGCGGUGCGGUGAAUAAUAUAAGCACUAACAUCAGGGGUGCAGGUUAUGAGCUCUCAACACAAUUCACAUCAUCAAUGAUUCACAUGUAUAACAUAAAACUCACAUGUGCGUCCACAGCACCAAUUCACAUAUAUAUAUGCAUCAAUUAUCAAUUCAUAUAUCUCAUAAUAUGCAUGCAUGGCAUUUUAAAACAUACUUCAUUUAAAUUCAAUUUCUGGGAAAAAUCAAUAGUAUAUAAGUAAAUACAGAAAAUAACUGCCCACUCACCUGGAGUUCGCCCAACAACUCCCUAGCACAACACAUCAAGGCGUCAUGACGAUCGGCGCCAAGAAUAAUAAUCAAAUCCAACCUCAGAAAUCAUAUCGAUAGAAUAUAUAACUUAUAUAAAACACGUCACUACGUAGUUCGAUCCGGAAGAUCUGCAACUCAGAUUUCAAAUCCUCUGGUUGGGCAGUUUUGCCCAAUCUCUUCUUCUUCUUCUUCUUCUUACGCACACACACAAACCUUCUUUCUUCUCAUCCCAGCCAUCCAUUUAUUUCUUCAUUAAAUCUGGGCCGUCCACUUUCAUAAAAGAAAUUCAAGAUUUUACUAAAUUAUAAUUCCUAAAAUGCCCAAAUUUCAAACGUUAAUAAAUUCUUCGAUAUAACUCCAAAUCACGCACCGUCUGCGCCCACGCGUCCGUAGCGACGAGUACUACGAGGAAAUGUUAAGAAAACAAAUCUUAGAUGGCACGACACAACGAUUAACCUCGAAUAAUGCGCGUGCCUCAAAGGGCAUUUUUUGUAAAAUCCUUUAUUAAAACUUUAAAACUCUUAAAAUCAGGGACGGGCUGUCACAAUCUACCCACCUUAAAAAAUUUCGUCCUCGAAAUUACACAAUCUUUGCAAUCCAUCGAUAUCCAUAAAACAACCUGGAACACAUCCCUCUCAUUCGAUCUUUUGUCUCCCAAGUAGUUUUUUCUGCUGAAUGAUUCCUCCAUAAAACUUUUACCAAGUACACUGUUUUAUUUCUCACGACUUCCUCUUUCUAUUCCAAAAUAAUCAUGGUUUCCUCAUUAUAAGUCAAAUCCGGAUUAAUCUCUAAGGGCUGAACCGGAAUCAUACAUGACGAAUCUGCUACUUUGUAACGAAGCAUCAAAACAUGAACUACACUAUACACCUUAUCCAAUCCCGAAGGUACUCAAACUUGAAAGUAUUUCACCGAUUCCUUCAAUAGUCAAAGACGACCUGAUGUACUUAGGAUUUAACUUGUCUUCCAUUUCCACCCGAACCGCACCUUUCCAAGGUGAUAAUUUAAAAAACAUCCAAUCUCCUGCAUUACACGUCCGGUCAAUGGCAUGUUUGUCUGCUAAGCUCUUUAACCGAUCCUGGCUCACUUCCAGGUUAGACUUAAUUACUUGAAUAUUCCGAGUAGUCUCCUCCACUAACUCAGGGCCUUGAAUACCAUCCGUCCACAAUUCUAACAAUAUCGAAACACAAGACACAACUUUCCACGGCCUUAUGGCGUUGCUCUAGAGAACAAACUGAAAGGAUCAACAUACCCAAGAAGUUCAACAGAUCCGUAAGCCCAAAUCUUUUUUCCAUAAGACAGAUAAAUAACUGUUGCACUUCAGGAAAGGUUACAGCUCUUUCAUUGAAAAAUACUGCGCUGAUUUAGUAAGCCAAUCAAUUAUCACCUCAAUUUCAUCAUAACUAUCUCGUGAACGAGGAAACUUGCACACAUAAUCUAUAUUAAUAUUUUCUCAUUUCCGUUGUGGAACGGGAAGUAACUACAUCAAUCCAAAAGACUUCUUUCUUUCCAUUUUAACCUGCUGACAGAUGUUACAUCUAUUUAUAUACAAACAUUUCUCUUUUCAUACCUGACCAAUAGUAAAAUAAUCGAAUGGUGUAAUACAUCUUAGUACCUCCAGGAUGCAUUGUAUAAGUUGAACAGUACGCAAAUUCCAAAAUUGCUUCCUUUAAUUCCAUAACAUUAGGUAUAAACACCUUGUUCUCUUGCAUAAGCUUACCAUCUGAUUCUCUAACUCUGAGGUCUUUCUUUUUCCCGUUAUUCCUUGCUUUAUAUAAAUUCUUGAAUUUCUUCGUCAAACGCUUGAGUCUCGAGUACGACCUACCAAAUAAGCCUAACUUGAAAAUUAGCAAGUACAUUUUCUUUUCGAUCUUCCAUUCCCAACUUUACUCCAGUAGAUCUCAAAUCCACAAGAAGAUGAACAUGGCAAUCGCACCAAGCAUUAAUUCUCGUUGGGGUCUUCCUACUGAAAGCAUUGGCCACAACAUUUGCACGAUCACCCUGGUCGUGCAAUCAUAAUCACUAAGCAACUCAAUCCACCUUCGUUGCCUAAGAUUAAGAUACCUCUGAAUAAACAGAUAUUGGAUACUCUUUUGAUUCGUAAAAAUCUUGCACUUUUCUUCCCAUAAAGACAAUGUCUCCAAAUCUUCAAAGCAAAGAUGAUAGUUGCUAAUUCUAAAUCAUGAGUAGGGUAAUUCAUCUCAUGAGGUUUCAAUUGUCGUGAAGUGUAGCAAUCACUCUAAUAUGUUGCAUCAACAUACAUCCUAACCCAUUCAAGGAUGCAUCACUGUAGACCUCAUAAUUACCUUUAUCAUCUGGGAAUGCUAAAACAGGUGUAUGAGUGAGAUAAUGCUUCAGUUGCCGAAACUUUGUUCACAAUUUUCAUCCACUCAAACCUAACCUCUUUUCUAGUCGAUCCCAUCAAUGGCAAAGCAAUGACUGAAAAAUCCUUUACAAACGUCUAUAGUAGCCUGCUAAACCAAGAAACCCAGUACCUCAGUGACGGUUCGAGGUUGUUCCCAAUUCUCCCCAGUUGUCACUCAUUGAGGAUCUACUUGAAUACCUUAUGUAGAUAUCACAUGUCCCAAAAAUGCCACUUGAUUAGUCCAAAAUUGACAUUUGCUAAACUUAGCAUACAAGCAAUGUUCCCUCAAACAUUUUAACACCAACUCAAAAUGACUAGUAUGCUUUACUUUCACUUAAGAGUAUACCAGACCUCAACUCUUUCCUUGAAAACACAUAGGCACCUCUAAGCUGAUCAAACAAUCAUCAAUGCGCAGCAAUGGAUAACGGUUCUUACUCAUUACUCGAUUCAAUUACCUAAUAUCCAUACAUAUUCUUAAGGUCCUGUCUUUCUUCCUUAUAAACAAAGCUGGGGUUUUCCAAAGUAACGUACUAGGUUGACUGAAACCUUUAUCAACCAAUUCCUGUGACUAAAUUUUCAAUUCCUUUAACUUUGUAGGAACCAAUCUAUAGCAUAAAGUCUGUACUUGGAAACAAUUCAAUAGUGAACAGCACAUCUCUGUCUGGUGGCAAUCCAUGUAAAUCAUUCUGGAAACAUAUUAGGAAAAUGUCUACCACUCGUACGUCAUCCACAAUACUAGGAGUACGAUCCUGCAACACCACAUGAGCUAGGUAUCCUUGGCAACCUUUUGAUAACAAUCUCUUUGCUCUCACAACAGAAAUAACGGCAUGCCUCACUCCACUUUACUCAAUCACAAAAGUAACCUCUGAUAAUCCAAGACAAUGGAAAGUAACUGAUUUCCCCGUAGCAAUCCAUAUUGGCACGAUUAUAAUGUAACCAAUCUGUGCUUAAAAUCACAUCGAAAUCCACAAUGUCUAACGGGAUACGAUUCGCUGGCAUAACUAUUUCUUCCACCAUCAUUGGACACCCUGAAUAGUCAUAACCGACAUGGAAUGACCUACCUGUUUACUUGCUUAACGAAUCCAACAAAUAAGUUAUGGAUAUUACGGUCUGCAGCCUGCAAUAACGAUAACGUACUGUCGUCUCGAUAAGUAAGCAACAAUUCUUAAGGGUGCAAUAUUAUCAUUUUACUCCUCACAGGGAAAAUACAUAUAUACGCCUCAAUCGUGCUCAUUCACUACUUCCUUUGGCAACAUCGUCAAUAAUAAGAAUUAUAUCAGUCGGAGUCAGCUAGAAUGACCUGUACGGCUAAGUCUACAGCUCGACCAUCCAUGUUAGCACAUAAGUCGAAGUCACCUAUAGUGACCUGUACGACUUACUCAUCAAUUUUCCAAGUAAUAUGUCAAGGAAGACUGUUGGGUAACAACUGAUCCUAUGGACAAUUCAUACCUCUAUGUCUCAUCUAACCAUAUGAACACAUUCACAACUUCCCACACUCUCCAAAAUGCCUAAUAUUGUACCUACGGUACAAAGAUACAUUUCCUCUACCGGAGUCACCUUGUCUCUGAGAUCUGGGAUGACUAGUAAAUCUAUCACUUCGCCUCUGUCCAGUGGCACUAAAACCUCAGCUGGGAAAAUUAGCUCUAGUUUCAUUUCUUUUGAAGCUCUGAGUCUUCCGAGGUCUUUGAUAUAACGGAUCUUUAACUUUAUCGUCUUUCUUCUGAUUCUCAUUCUUUUCUUAUUCCUCUUUACUCUCGCUGAUCAUGUUCUCAGAGUCCUCAAUGCUCAACAACAUCUCGUAAACUCCUGGUAAAAAGUACAAUGAAUAGUGGUCGCCAAAGAACGCCACUUCUUCUUAUUAUCCAGCCAAAAACGACAUAACACCUCGACUGGAUUAGCAACAACAUCCGAAUGGAAACAAGGCAAGUCUGUAAACUCUAUAAUAAUAUGUCGGAGGAAUGAACUUUUCCUUAAACAAUUCUUUAAACGACUUCCAAACAGCUGUUCUUCCGAUGACAUCGGAUAACAUUCUUAUCUCCAUCAGAAUGCAGAUUCAACACUCAGAAACUAGGUAGUCAUCUCGACCCACCUGUCGGAAGGAAGAUUCCCUUGACUUUGCAUAAUCCAAAACGUCUUUUCCCAAAUGAUUAAGCCAUCGAUCUGCUCCCUUAGGUUCUUCAUUUCCCUAAAGUGAUUCAAAUUUAGCUUAUAACCAGUCUAAAAAGGUUCCUUUAGAUAAUAGAUUGAAUCACAAUGGCAAUAGUUUCCCCCCAAACUACCAUAUCAAGGAAAUUAGGCUCAUCCGAACUACGUGGCUCGCUACGAGGCGGUAUAGUUUUGACAGAAGACACUAGGAAAUUCUCAAGAUGUCCAGAAUUGCAACCUAAGCUCUGAUACCAACUGACACACCCCGUCCCGAAGGAGGGCAUGCUGGCCGUCACGUGAGAGUGACGUAACCAUUUACACAGUUCGGAAGCUUUAAAAAAAUACAAUUACUAAGAUGAAACACCCGAGGGUGAGUCCUACUUUUGUGAAUUCUGUCAGAACACCGUUGGAUUCCUCAUGGCCACCAAAGCUCUGCUAUCUAGAACCUGAAGGGGCGCAAAACAAAGUUGAGUGGGUCAGUAAAACAAAGUUUUUCGAAAACAUUUCAUUUAAAACAUUUCUAACCCCUCGCUGUAAAACCUGUAUACUUUCCCAGAAAAUAACAUAAUAGCAUAUACCUUCAAAUAUCUCAAAUCAUCAAUCUUUAUCAAAACCAGAAAGUAUGCCAUGUCAUAAUGUCAAAAACAGAAUAUGGAUGCAUCAAUAUAACAGGUGAAAUAAGGAAUCAACCGGAGACCCUGCAGUUGGUCAUGUACGGUUAAUUCUAUAGCUCAAUAUCCAAUCCAACCGGAGUCACCACGGUGACCUGUACGGUGUUACUCUGCACAUAAGUCGGAACUACCAGAAGUAGUCUGUACGACAAGAAUGGUGUAAUAAUACACUCUAGUGCUUCUCUCAUCAAUCAUCUGUGCACAUAAUCUAAGGUCACCUACCAGUCGGAACCACCUCUAGUGGUCUGUACGACUAGCAUGUCGGAACCCUCUCAUGGUCUGUACGACAUGCACCUACUUGGAUCCAAGGUAGCGUGCGGUGCGGUGAAUAAUAUAAGCACUAACAUCAGGGGUGCAGGUUAUGAGCUCUCAACACAAUUCACAUCAUCAAUGAUUCACAUGUAUAACAUAAAACUCACCUGUGCGUCCAUAGCACCAAUUCACAUAUAUAUAUGCAUCAAUUAUCAAUUCAUAUAUCUCAUAAUAUGCAUGCAUGGCAUUUUAAAACAUACUUAAUUUAAAUUUAAUUUCUGGGAAAAAUCAAUAGUAUAUAGGUAAAUACAGAAAAUAACUGCCCACUUUUCUGGAGUUCGCCCAACAACUCCCUAGCACAACACAUCAAGGCGUCAUGACGAUCGGCGCCAAGAACAAUAAUCAAAUCCAACCUCAGAAAUCAUAUCGAUAGAAUAUAUAACUUAUAUAAAACACGUCACUAUGUAGUUCGAUCCGGAAGAUCUGCAACUCAGAUUUCAAAUCCACAACUUCCAGAGGUCCAAAAUAUACCUCUAGGACAACAUCCUAAAAUUUCAUUACCAUCCAACGGUCGGAUCUCCGUCAAUUUCCAGAACCAAGUGACGGUUAACAUUCUAUUUUAUGAACUUACAACUCCAAUUCCCAAAGAUCCGUAAAUUGGAUUCCCAAUCCGUAAGUUCCUAUAAUCCUCAAAUAUUACGUAUUACAACGUAUCAAAGUUUGGUGAUGAUCCGAUGGUUGGAUCGUCGAUUCACCUUUUGGCCUAACCACGAAUCGUAACGAACUUAGGUUCAAUUACUCAAUUUACGUCCAUCAAUUAUCAAAACUGAACCUAGAACCUUAAACACAUGCUAAGAAUGACAUUGGCGGGCCAUUGGCCACGCGCCGCCACACGGGCCGUCGCGGGUGGCAGUCGGCCGCCCUGACUCGCCGGAAAAUCCAACUAUUUCAAACAAUUCUCAAAAAAUACAGAAUUGAAGAUCUCAAUGAUUAGAGUAAACUUUAUACCUGAGGCCAAGGCCAAUUUGGACUGGAAACACUUCAAUUUCACCAAAAUCCGUGCGGAACCCUAGAAUUGGGUGAGUUCCAAUUCAUCUUCAAAUCAACUCCGUCGUCCCAACCAAUGCUUGGGCUUCGUUCUAGGUCCUAAAAGAAUGCUAAAGGUGUUAGUAAUUGAAAGAAAACAUUUCAAUAUUUGAAGAAUUUGAACAAAAAAGUCGCGGCACCCACGGGUGUGUUCUUCACCAAUUCACCAUCAAAUUUCAUGAUUUUUGGGGUGAAACAUGAAGAGGGAAGGCCUAGGUGUUGAUUGGAAGUGAUACCUUGAUCCAAUUUGUGAGAAUUCCGUGAAAAUCGUCGGAAUUUGGGUGUGGGAAUCGCGGGUCGAAACGGGUCGCGGGUGAAGACCCAUUUUUCUUCCUUCUCUCCUCCGCUUCUCGCCCUCUCUCCUUUCCUCCUUUCUCUGUUCCGAUUGGCCAGUCUCCUCUCUCUCUUCUCCCCAUUCGCCAGCACUCUCUCCUUUCUCUCCCGGAGCUCCUGCUCUCUCUUCCUCUGGUUGGGCAGUUUUGCCCAAUCUCUUCUUCUUCUUCUUCUUCUUCUUCUUCUUACGCACACACACACACAAACCUUCUUUCUUCUCAUCCCAGCCAUCCAUUUAUUUCUUCAUUAAAUCUGGGCCGUCCACUUUCAUAAAAGAAAUUCUAGAUUUUACUAAAUUAUAAUUCCUAAAAUGCCCAAAUUUCAAACGUUAAUAAAUGCUUCAAUAUAACUUCAAAUCACGCACCGUCUGCGCCCACGCGUCCGUAGCGAUGAGUAAUACGAGGAUAUGUUAAGAAAACAAAUCUUAGAUGGCACGACACAACGAUUAACCUCGAAUAAUGCGCGUGCCUCAAAGGGCAUUUUUUGUAAAAUCCUUUAUUAAAACUUUAAAACUCUUAAAAUCAGGGACGGGCUGUCACAUUUUUUCUUUUUGAUGCCAAAUUCUAAUAUAAUAAUUAUGUCGUAUUACUUUCAUUCUAGUACUUAUUUUUAUGUACUUUUUGAUAAUUUUAAUAUAAAAUAUCUAUUUGGUGUAAAUAUGUCGUUAUAUAAAAAAAAAGUUUAUUUUUUUAUAAAAUUAUUUUGAAGCACAAGUUAUAGAUUUUGCCAUUGUGCAUAGGACUUUUGUCUUCAGUACAAUGCAUCUCAAUUGUAAACUCUACACUUCUUACAACUUAUUGUGGAUGCAAAUUUCUUCCUCCUUGAUCUUGGACAAAAUUGCACCUACAAAACAAAUACCACAUUAGGUCAAGGCCAAGACCCUCACGCGCUCACGAUGAUGGGGGGAGGGGGCUUUGGCUGACGAACCUCCGAUGCCAAAGUUAGAAUUUAGAGAGAAAACUGUUUGAGAGUUUUGGAGAAUUUUAGCAAGAGUGAAGACCUAGGUUUUUAGAGAAAAUGGGGUUCAAUAUAUAGAGUAUGGCCCUUUUGGAGAAAAGGUGGCCGGCCUUUGGGAUGUUUUUUGGGUGUAUUUUGUGGUUCAAUGUGUGAUUUAUUUGGCAAUUAAUUGAUUAAUUAGGCAAUUAAUCCAUUGAUUAGCCAAUUAACACAUUUUUAGAAAGAAAGUUUUGGAGGUUAUGGAAUGAAUAAAAUAAAUAGCUAAUUGAUUAGCUAAAAAAGGGAAAAUGAGGUAAAAGAUAUAUGGAAUGAAAUAGGUUUUGGGAGUUACCUUGUAGAAGGGAUUUGAUGAGAUAGGUUUUGAAUUGUUACCUAUUUUGGGCACUUUUGAUUUAGUUGAAGAUAGGUUUUGAAUUGUUACCUAUUUUGGGCACUUUUGAUUUAGUUGAAGGAUGAUUGCUUGUUGCUUGCGCGUACGAAUCCCGUUGUAUCUUAGGGGUAUUUAUGUCCUUUUUUGUCCAAAAAUCCACGUGUCGCCUUGUGAUUAUUUUUUGCUCCACAAAUGCCCUCACACCUGUUGGUCUACUUGCAAGAAAGGGCAGCAGGUGUAGAGAACUUCUUGCUUGAGGAAACAUAAGAUUGUUUCCUAUUUUGAUGUUGAUUUCCUCUUUUAAUUGGAAAUUAGAUCAUUCUAGGAAAGGGAAAUAAAUUUCUCUCAAAGCCUAUUUAAGUUCACCUUAAGUGGGUUAUUAAAUCAACUUUGGAGAGCAAGUUAUUCUACCAUACAAGAGAGAGAGAGCUUAGAGGAUAUUUGUUCCUCCUCCUCUAGCAAUCUUCUACAUCUUGCUCGUGUAAAUGACCGUCUUUCAUUGCUUUCUUCGUCUUCUCCGUGCCACACCGAAGUAAGAAAAAUUUAAUUUUCCUUCUCUUUUUCUUGGAUAACGCUACCGCGUUGCAACCGUCGGGGUGGUGCAGCACGUCGGCUAGCAGGGGCCAAGAGUCGGCUCGACAUAAGCUGAGGAAGUGUUAUGGCAGAGACCACUGCUUGAGCUGCUUGGUUUGGCUAAAGCCAAGGGCAGCUGUGCGGCUAGGGCCACGGAUUGAGGCAUUGAGGCUUUAUGAUGCUAGGCGAAUCGCAUGACUCAUUUCCUUUGAGAUAAAUAAGAAGGUCGCGAGCUUUAUAGGCUAUUGAAAUGCUGGGCAUGUAAACCUCCUGCUUGCUGGCCCGAGAGAAAAAUGAAGGAAAAGCCGGUAUGGGUUGAGCUCUCAUGCUGAGUAUUAUGAAUGGCGUUGGCUGCUUAAUCUUCUUCGUUGGGAGAAAGGUAGGCUGCUCCCGAGAGAAUAGGUAUAUAGGAUCAAGGCAGAUGCUUUGGCUCAUAUGCUGUCGUUGGGCUUACUAUUAAUGAAGAUGGAAAGAAGAGAUCUUCCCUGCCUGCUCAAGAGAUGCCGGUUGAGAAAAACUGAAAACUUUCUUCGCUGCUUGUUAAGGUCCACCUGCUGCCGAAAGACCUGUGAUUAACAUAACUUUUUCUAAUGGGAAGAAAAAUGAGGCUGUUAGAUCUGAGCAUGUGGCGCCUGUCAUGUCGAGAAUGGCUUGUUCCAAUUGGAAGAAAAAUGAGGCUGCUAGAUCUGGGCAUGUGGUACCUGCCAUGUCAAGAAUGGCUUGUACGAUUGUUAAUAUUAUUGCUCAGUGUAAAGGUCUUGUCAUGCUCCCAGUGCUGAAGUCUGUGCCAUGACGUUCGUUAGAAGCAAAGUUCGAUUCUCCUUCAGAAAUGCUUGCUAUUAUGAAGAGCGAUAAGGUGGACUCUACUGCUAAAAUGGCGUUAAGGCCUACUCCCUCUGUUGCUGAAACUGAUUCGCCUGCUGGGGAAAAUGAGAUUGUUUGCGUGGGCAGCUGUGAGAAAUCCACUAAGCCUGCUUCUGGGGAGGCUGUUGAGAUUUGUGUGCUCUUGAAACCAGAUCUGCUUAAAGACAUGGACGCUUGUGCCAAGUUUGUUGAUGGCGUUUAUAAAGGUUUGUUUGCCCAAGUUCCUUUGUGAAGCAUACGACCCAAUAUAGAAUGAAUGCUCUGCUUGCUAUGAUGCAGAUAUAGCAAGGUUGCCAAUGAGGUGGUGAAGAUUAUGGCAGUUGAAGCUUAUUCCUCGGCCGAUGAGAUCAAGAGGUUUGAUUAUGAGCUCGUUGCUUUGAAUGGGUCUAAUAUUUCUGCCCUUACUUCUCUGCAGCUUGAGACAACUCACCAAGAUAUUGUUAACUUGAAGACUAAGCUUGACGCAAUCCAAGUUAAGUAUGAAAGUGCAGAGAAUGAGAUUGGAUGUUACAUACCUCAUAUUCAAGAUCUUGAGUUUGCAGUUUCUAAGCUUCGUUUCGCUAUACAAAGGAUAAAGAGUUGAUUACUACUUAUAAUCAAGUAAUCCACUUCAAGAGAAUCGUCGAUAGUUUGAAGAAGGAAGUGGAUGAGCUGCAGCGUGUUCGUGUUGGUCUGUUCGAGGAGGAUGAGCAGCUGAAGGGUGAGAAAGAUGGGGUCGAGAUUUCGAGACCUUCUCUAUUUCUCCGGAAUACUUGCUUGCUUUUACUUUUGAGGCUUCCAUUGGUAAAGUAGUUAUAGAAGUUGGUGCCCAGGCUGGGGCAGCCGGGGGAGAAGCGCCGAAUGAUGUCGCUGCUAAGAGUGUUGUAACUGCUGAAGGUGUGGUAACCGAGUAGUCAUGGGAUGUCCAAGCUGUUGUAGUCUUCUAAGUAGCCUUUAGGAUUGUAUUUGUUUUUCCUUGUAGCUCUUGUUUUGUUUGAACUCCUUUGGCCUUUGCUAAUUGUUUAUAAACAUGCUUCAUUCGUUUUUCUUCAUCUUCACUUCUUUUGUUCAUGCCCUAACCUUUAGACUUGAUAGACCAAUGGCAGACAUGCUACUUUUUAUAAGCAAACAAGCUCGCGUAGCCUAUGCAGCCGUAGGUGUUGGUGUAGAACUUUGCAAAGUUCUUAGCCAUAUGGUUGGCAGCCAGAUGCCUUACUUACAAAAGCAGACAAGUCCGCGUAACCACUAGACUGUUAACCUUGGCUUUCUCUAAUUCCAUAGAUUGCGUAGUAAGUAUCACAACACUUUAGGACUUGGUGUAGGUUGUUCCACGCUUGGCAAAGGUGAAGCUUAUCGACUACGUAACAUAUCGGUAGUGGAUAAAGCUAGACCUGGUAUUCGUGUCGUAUUUUCCGUGUUCGUGUCGUUUUCGUGUCAUACCCGAUAUCUUAACGGGUCGUGUCGUGUAAUACCCGUUAAAAUAAACGGGUAAAAUGAUCCAACCCGAAAUCGACCCGAUAACAUUAACAAGUAAUAUGACCCGACCCGUUACCCGUUAAGGAAAAUAUAUUUUAAACCAAUAAAUAAUCAAAUGAAAAACAUAAUACUAAAUAAGUAUAUACAUUCCAUAUUGUCACAUCCAAAACAUAAAAACGCAAUUUUGUUUUAAGUAUAUUUUCGCUUACCUAAAGUCUUUAAUAGUUUUUUAAUUAAUGUAGAAGUGUAAAAAAAUAUAGAAAAAAAUAUAUAAACACUCGUAAUGACAAGCUUUAUAACUUUCAUGAAGAGCUUAACUUCGAAAUUCGCCACUAUAAUCAUAUAAAUCAUAGAUCAAAAUUUAACCAUUGAUUGUUGUUUACAUUUAUGCUUCAUUGUUCUCAUCAAAUUUCGUUUUUUUAGAUUUUCUUUUUUGAAAACAUGAUCUAUUAGAGGGUGCAGGUAGAUGAACGGUUUGGAUCGUUGAUAUUACAUUUAGAGUUUUACGGUUAGUGAAAAUAUUGUUGAUGUUUAUAAAGUUUCUACAAAUAUAUGACAUUGACUCAUAUUUCAGUUAACCGUAAAUAUCGAAACGUUAUAUCAUCUUCUUACAUCCGCCAGAUGAUCAUGUUUUCAAAAAAUAAAAUUUUAAAAAUGAAAUUCAGUAAGAAGAAUAAAGCGUAAAUGACAAUCGACGGUUAAAUAAAUUUAAGGUUUCCCUACUACAAAAUUAUCUAUUGCUGGCAGUCCAAAAACUUUUUUCAACGAUCCAACCGUCAAACUUAUUUGUACACAUUCCAAGAUUGCAUACGUAAAAAAUCGUACAAAAAAACAUUCAGAGAUUACGUAACGGAACAAAAGUUUCCGACGGUUAUAAACGAAAAAUCACAAUUUAACGGUUAUUUUAGCUCCGAUUUUGAUGAUUUUUUACAGAUACACUCCUCGACCCUAUAAGAAUGUAAUGAAUAAAUUUGAUCUUUAAUUUAAAGUAUUUACACUAGUGGAUACCACAAAAACUUAUUUUAUACUUAAUAGAAGUAUAAUAUUAACUCUAAGUGUUUGUUUAAUUUACCGUUUUGACGCAAUAUGCAUUCUACGAAACAUUUUCAAUGAUCCAACCGUCAAACUUAUUUGUACACAUUCCAAGAUCGCAUACGUAAAAAAUCGUAAAAAACAAACAUUCAGAGAUUACGUAAUGGAACAAACGUUUUCGAUGGUUAUAAACGAAAAAUCACAAUUUAACGGUUAUUUUAUCACCGAUUUUGAUGAUUUUUUACAGAUAGACUCCUCGACCUAUAAGAAUGUAAUGAAUAAAUUUGAUCUUUAAUUUAAAGUAUUUAUACUAGUGGAUACCACAAAAACUUAUUUUAUACUUAAUAGAAGUAUAAUAUUAACUCUAAGUGUUUUGACGCAAUAUGCAUUCUACAAACCUUUUUUCAACGAUCCAACCGUCAAACUUAUUUGUACACAUUCCGAGAUCGCAUACGUAAAAAAUCAUAAAAAAAUAAACAUUCAGAGAUUACGUAACAGAACAAAAGUUUUCGACGGUUAUAAACGAAAAAUCACAAUUUAACGGUUCUUUGAGCUCCGAUUUUGAUGAUUUUUUACAAAAACACUCCUCGACCCUAUAAGAAUGUAAUGAAUAAAUUUUAUCUUUAAUUUAAAGUAUUUACACUAGUGGAUACCACAAAAACUUAUUUUAUACUUAAUAGAAGUAUAAUAUUAACUCUAAGUGUUUGUUUAAUUUACUGUUUUGACGCAAUAUGCAUUAUACAAAACUUCUUUCAACGAUCCAACCGUCAAACUUAUUUGUUCACAUUCCGAGAUCGCAUACGUAAAAAAUCGUAAAAACAAACAUUCAGAGAUUACGUAAUGGAACAAAAGUUUUCGACGGUUAUAAACGAAAAAUCACAAUUUAACGGUUAUUUUAUCUCCGAUUGUGAUGAUUUUUUACAGAUACACUCCUCGACCCUAUAAGAAUGUAAUGAAUAAAUUUGAUCUUUAAUUUAAAGUAUUUACACUAGUGGAUACCACAAAAACUUAUGUUAUACUUAAUAGAAGUAUAAUAUUAAAUCUAAGUAUUUGUUUAAUCUACAGUUUUGACGAAAUAUGCAUUCUACGAAAUGUUUUUCAACGAUCCAACCGUCAAACUUAUUUGUACACAUUCCGAGAUCGCAUAUGUAAAAAAUCGUAAAAAACAAACAUUCAGAGAUUACGUAACGGAACAAAAGUUUUCGACGAUUAUAAACGAAAAAUCACAAUUUAACGGUUAUUUUAGCUCCGAUUUUGAUGAUUUUUUACAGAUACACUCCUUGACCCUAUAAGAAUGUAAUGAUUAAAUUUGAUCUUUAAUUUAAAGUAUUUACACUAGUUUUAUACUUAAUAGAAGUAUAAUAUUAACUCUAAGUGUUUGUUUAAUCUACUGUUUUGACGCAAUAUGCAUUCUACAAAACUUUUUUCAAUGAUCUAACCGUCAAACUUAUUUGUACACAUUCCGAGAUCGCAUAUGUAAAAAAUCAUAAAAAACAAACAUUCAGAGAUUACGUAACGGAACAAAAGUUUUCGACGGUUAUAAACGAAAAAUCACAAUUUAACGGUUAUUUGAGUUCCGAUUUUGAUGAUUUUAUAUAGAUACACUCCUCGACCCUAUAAGAAUGUAAUGAAUAAAUUUGAUCUUUAAUUUAAAGUAUUUACACUAGUGGAUACCACAAAAACGUUUUUUAUACUUAAUUGAAGUAUAAUAUUAACUUUAAGUGUUUGUUUAAUCUACUAUUUUGACGCAAUAUGCAUUCUACGAAACUUUUUUUAACCAUCCAACCAUCAAACUUAUUUGUACACAUUUCGAGAUUGCAUACGUAAAAAAUCGUAAAAAAUAAACAUUCAAAGAUUACGUAAUGGAACAAAAGUUUUCGACGGUUAUAAACGAAAAAUCACAAUUUAACGGUUAUUUUAACUCCGAUUUUGAUGAUUUUUUUACAGAUACACUCCUCGACCAUAUAAGAAUGUAAUGAAUAAAUUUGAUCUUUAAUUUAAAGUAUUUACACUAGUGGAUACCACAAAAACUUAUUUUAUACUUAAUAAAAGUAUAAUAUUAACUCGAAGUGUUUGUUUAAUCUAUCGUUUUGACGCAAUAUGCAUUCUACAAAACUUUUUUCAACGAUCCAACCGUCAAACUUAUUUGUACACAUUCCAAGAUCGCAUACGUAAAAAAUCGUAAAAAACAAACAUUCAGAGAUUACGUAACGGAACAAAAGUUUUCGACGAUUAUAAACGAAAAAUCACAAUUUAACGGUUAUUUUAGCUCCGAUUUUGAUGAUUUUUUACAGAUACACUCCUCGACCCUAUAAGAAUGUAAUGAUUAAAUUUGAUCUUUAAUUUAAAGUAUUUACACUAGUGGAUACCACAAAAACUUAUUUUAUACUUAAUAGAAGUAUAAUAUUAACUCUAAGUGUUUGUUUAAUAUACCGUUUUGACGCAAUAUGCAUUCUAAGAAACUUUUUUUAACAAUUCAACCGUCAAACUUAUUUGUACACAUUCCGAGAUUGCAGACUUAAAAAAUCGUAAAAAAUAAACAUUCAAAGAUUACGUAACGGAACAAAAGUUUUCGACGGUUAUAAAAGAAAAAAUCACAAUUUAACGGUUAUUUUAGCUUCGAUUUUGAUGAUUUUGUACAUAUACACUCCUCGACCCUAUAAGAAUGUAAUGAAUAAAUUUGAUCUUUAAUUUAAGCAUUUACAUUUUUUUAUAUAUGAGUGAUUGUAUAUAUAUAUUUUUACAUUUUUUACACUUCUACAAUAAUUAUUAUUAAUUUUACCCUCAAAUAAAAAACAUUAUUCAUGAGGGUUUGAAGGAUUUUAAAAAUCUAAACGAUAAUAUAAGUGUAACAAUUAUCUAUUCGUAGAGGAAUAAUGAUAAAUCACGAGUGUUUAUAUAUUUUUUCACAUUUUUCAUACUUGUAUGUAUGUAUUCUUAGUUCUUGCAUAUACAAAUACUAUACUAGUAUAUUUUAAUUUUGGACAAGAAUAUGUUAUGUAAAAUUUAUCCUAGUAAUGAUAAUAAGGAACUCUCAUAAUAAAAAUAAAUAAUGACUAAAACUUUUUUUUUAUUUUUUUAUAAUUUAUAUAGAACAAUAAUACAAAACUAUAUAUUUAAUAUAGAAUAUAUUGUAUAUAUUAAUAUGACUAUUGUAUUUUAUAAUAAAUCUUUUAGUAAUUAAACUUUAAAAUUAUUAAAAUAAUUUUUUUCUUAACGGGUCGAAACGGGUUACCCACGUGUAUACCUGUUAAGAACCCGUUAUUAACGGGUCACCCGAUAGUGACCCGAUAAGUUAUCGUGUUGACCCGAAACCCGUUAUUUUCGUGUCGUGUCAAAAACUGUCAGGUCUAGAUAAAGCUUCGUAUAUGCACGCUAGCUUGUUUAACCUUUCACAAGAAUGUGCGGUUAUAUAAGUCUAACGCGACUUUAUUGCUCGAAGGGCAAGCCGUAGGCAGUCUUUCAGAAACCGUAAGCUACCUUAGUGCACUUGGUAGCAGCUUUAGGGUUCCAGGGUAGCUGUCUGUAAGGCGUACUACGUAAUGUGCCCCCUCCGUCUCUAGGGCCCGGUUCCCCACGGAUUUGGCCAAGAGACCUAAAAUCCUUCAGUUAGCUAAGCCUUGAAAAAAGACCAUUGUGGCUACUUCUAGGAAUCCCGGCGCAAGCUAUCGUGCAUCUAGUUAUACUAUGGUAGCCAGGCUCAUCCACGUCUGGAUAUUCGAAGUGUAAAGUUUAUCCUCCCGUCUUGGAGUGCUGACCCAUAUGGGUGUUGGGGGAUUAAUUUACCUUCUCGCACUGAAGAGCAAUUAGUUUACCCUCUCGCAUUGGAAAGCAUGGUUGGUCCAUCAGGGGGCGCAAUUCAUGCGAUGUGUCCCUAAAAAGGGCGCAGUCUUCUUUUGAAGUGCAUGAGUGAUCAGUUGUUGUAAGCAUGCAGCCGAGCCAAGUUGUGAUUACUUCUGAAUUCCUCAUUGAAAAAACGAGUGAAACGAAUGAGAACUUAGCUAUAAAGUAGGAACUGCAUAACAACUAGAUAGUCCUCGGCUUGUGAGGUGGUGCCCGUCGAGCUUUUUGAGUCUUCAAACUUUGAUGUAGCGAGAGGUAACACAUGGUACUUCCUCAGAUUGUAAGUGCUUCACUACUUUUCGAUCUUUUUAUCGUUUCAUGGUGGCAAGGGUGUAAUUACUCUUGCCGCCUACUCUGCUGAUCUUGUACGGACCUUCCCAGAUGGGAUCCAUCUUUUUAAAGCCUUCUCUGCGGGCAGUGAUGAAGGCUUUUCUUAGGACUAGAUCUUCGGGCUGGAACUAUCGGAUCUUAGCCCUUUUGUUGUAGUUGGAAAUGAGUUGUUGCUGGUAGGCUGUGAUGCAAGUGAUGGUCUGCUCACACUUGUCCUCUACCAGAUCUAAGCUUGUGGCCAUUUCCUUACUGUUUUGCUCAAUGUUUAGUAAUAGAGCGGUGAUACUUGGCUUAACGACAUUGGGAUGAAUGAUUACUUCUGCCAAAUGCUGAAGAGAAAGGAGUCUCACCGGUUGCUCGUCUUUUGGUGGUGCGAUAUGCUUAUAGACAUCCGGGGAGUUCAUCUGGCCAUUUUCCCUUCUUAUUGGUGAGGGAUUUCUUGAGGCAGCCGAAGAUCAUCUUGUUGGAUGCUUCGGCCCGCCACUACCUUGAGGAUAUCUUGUCAUAUACAUGUGCUGCUUGAUGUUAUACUUUUGGGAGAACUUUGCCACAUCUUGGUUCAUGAAUUGAGGGCCGUUGUCGGUGACGAUGGACUGAGGGAUGCCAAAACGGCAAAUGAUAUUCCUCCAUAGGGAUGACAAAAUGCCAAAACGGCAAUUAAUCCAUUGAUUAGCCAAUUAACACAUUUUUAGAAAGAAAGUUUUGGAGGUUAUGGAAUGAAUAAAAUAAAUAGCUAAUUGAUUAGCUAAAAAAGGGAAAAUGAGGUAAAAGAUAUAUGGAAUGAAAUAGGUUUUGGGAGUUACCUUGUAGAAGGGAUUUGAUGAGAUAGGUUUUGAAUUGUUACCUAUUUUGGGCACUUUUGAUUUAGUUGAAGGAUGAUUGCCCGCUGCUUGCGCAUAGGAAUCCCGUUGUAUUUCAGGGGUAUUUUUAUCCUCUUUUGUCCAAAAAUCCAUGCGUCAUCUUAUGAUUAUUUUUGGCUCUACACUUAUGGUGAUAUUCUUUUUCAUUUGUAAGUAAUAGUUCUUAGGUUCGAAUCUCGUGGAUGACAAAUUUGAUAUCAAAUUAGGUUAUCCAUUGUGUGGUUUAGCCAAACUCUCUCAUGUUUUAGUAAAAAUAUAUCGUUGUACUAAUAAAAUAAAAUAAAAAUUGGCUAUCCUUUUUACAACUUAUUAGAUGGUUGUUAUGGCCGACAAUGACAUGCCCUUCUUCUCAUACCUUUAUCAGCGGCGAGGAUGCUGUCAAUUUGUCAUUAACCAAUUGGAUUAUAAAAGUUCUUUUCUUAUACUUGUAGACAGCCAAAGCUACUCAAGUUUAGGAUAAAUUUAAAGUGGAUUCCUAACUUUGAUACUUCAACAACUGGCCUUUAGCUUGUACUAUUACGUGGCAAAGUUGGGUAUCCAAAUAAAUGAAGAGGUAUCUAGAGAUUGUUUUAGGUAUAAUUAGACCCGGCAACGAGUUAUUUUCUAUCAUAUUUGUAUCGUGUAGACUAUAAACCCGUAUUUUUAACGGCCAACCGUGAAGCUAACUAGUGGAAAAUCCCAACUUGAAGUCUUGGACUCCUAUCACUUGUUUGUAAGUGACUUAUUAGCCAAAAAACAAAAAAACAAAAAAAGUGGACUUUGAAACACUUUUAAAUUCAGGUGUGGAGUUACAUAACAAAAUGCAUUUAUAUCUUGUAUGUCGUAAAGGCGGUGUGAAUGCCUACAUAUUUUGACUAAAGAUGAAAUGUAAGAAAGGCCAAAAACAGUAGUAUAGAUGUAUUGUCAAAUUUUAUUACUGUUGUAAGGCAUGACUUUCAACAUGCAUUGACUUCUCUUGUAGACUUUUGUAAGUAAAUGGCUCUAUAGAAACAAUAUGCAAUGUAUAUAAAGUGAUAAUACCAAUCUCCCUCCCAUCUCUUCACCUGCAUUCAUUGUUGAUAGCAAUUUUACCACACAUGCAAAUGGGUUAAAAACUCCUAUAUUACUUGCAAGCAUGACAAGGUUAUUGUAGUAUAAACGGAUCUCGCAAGGUCGUUCUCCACAGAGAUUAUUAAAUAAUUCGAAGCAAACCAAAUUCCAAUUGAUUAUUGUAAAAUAGAAAUUUGAGAUGAUUGAUUUUUAUGACCUAAUUUAAUAAAAAUGAAUUUAACUAAUAAAAAAAAACUAAUCUGCAAUAUUAAAGAUGAAGAAAAAAGAAAAGUUUUGGAGAAAUCAAAUUAAGAAAGAACUAGGGUUCCACCAUCACCUAGCAAUCCUAUGAACUUUUACCAAUUACUUAUGAUCUACACAUGCCACAUUGAAGCUUAGGUUUUUCUAAUUUAUAUUCUACUUGGAACCUCCAAUAUAGAACGUAUAUCUAACAUGUAACCUGUCAAGACGUUCGGAUCAAAUCUGAACAUGAGAGACUCAUUAUGCUUUAUGAAAACCCUUUGAAAACCCAUGCAACACUUAAGACAUGGUGUUCAUCUUAAAUGAAAAUAUCCUAAUGGUGAUCAAACAUUAAGAUAAUUAAAUAGUUUUAAUCACGGUGAUUAAUAAUUCAAAUGUGCAUGCAAUCAAUCAUAAGCAAUUAAAUAAAAAUCACGUAUUCAUGCUAAGGCUCAAGACUUAGCACUAGCAAAAUAAAUUAGUUAUGCAUAUUCAUAAUUAAAAUCAUAGAAAAUAUUAUUAAGAAAAUGAUUGAAAACACCUUAAAGUAGAAAAACUUCAAGAACCCUAGCAAUUCUCUCUGUCUCCAAAGUUUCAUAAAAGCAAGCGUAGCCAAAAACUAAGAACGGCAAAGCAAUAUAACCUACUAUGCCAUUGCAAAAUCCCUAAAAACCAGGUCUUUUAUUCCAACUAGGAAACUAAGAAUAAUAAUAAAAUAUCUUAGAAAAUAAAGUCCUAAUUAAGCUAGGAUAAUCUGCUAAGUACUUGUCCAGCUAUGUUUUAGCCUCAGAUGUCCUCUAAAUCCAGCCCAUAAUAGCUUAUUUUGAAGAUCGGGACGUUCUGAACACAUCUUCAGAAGGCCAUGAAACCAUCCGAGAUCAUUUUGGGCUCUAAAAAUGCAAUUCAAGCCAAAACGUCACGAUUUCAACAUCGUGCACUGCUCCUUUAUUUUAUUGCCAGAAAAUCAUCGUUUGGUAGAAAAAUCUGAUAUUUUGAUACGAUCAAGCUAAUUGACAUACAAAUGUCCUCCAACUAGAAUUACUCCAAAAUUUGUCUAUUUGAUUAUGUUUUGCUCCAGAGGAAGUCGAAAAUCCUAUAUUGAAAAUACAAUUCAAAAUAUCAAAAUUCUUCCAAAAUAAUAACCAAAAUAUACUAAAAUAGGGUUAAAUAUAUAAUAUGAAAUUGACUCGUCAAUUGUCUAAUACAGUUAAGAUUAUGAACAGUUUGACACAUUGCUCCUGACACACCCCGACCAAAAUCGAGGCAUGCUGGCCGUCACGUGAGAGUGACGUAACCAUGUGCACAGUGCAGAAGCAAUAAUGAUAUGGAGAAAUACAAGUGAAUAAAAACCAAACUACUAAAAGUACUAGCUAAGAUAAGGUGUUAGUGAGAGAUUAAGUGUGAAAUACAAAAUUAGAGCAUAAAUAGCCUAAGUGCAGUCCGACUGGACAAGUACUAAUUAUACAACACCCAAAGGUGAUCCUACAUUUGUGAUGUUCUAUCAGAACCACCGUCAAAAUCUCUGUGAGCCACUAAAGCACUUCUACCUAAAACCUAGAGGGGCGCAAAACAGAAAGUGUGAGUGGGCAAAAACAAAUGUCACAUCCCGACCCGGGGUCCAUCACAUCCCAGGCCCGCUCCACCACCGUAGCACGAUAUUGUCCGCUUUGGGCCCCGACUACGCCCUCACGGUUUUGUUUUUGGGAACUCACAAACAACUUCCCAGUGGGUCACCCAUCAUAGGAUUGCUUUCGCACGCUACUCGCUUAACUUCAGAGUUCCGAUGGAACCCGAAGCCAAUGAGCUCCCCAAAGGCCUCGUGUUAGGUAAGGAUGGGAAUAUACAUUUAAGGAUCACUCCCCUGGGCGAUGUGGGAUGUCACAACAAAGCUUUUCAAAAUCAUUUCAUUUAUCAAAAGUGUUAACCCCUCGCUGUAAAACCUGUAUAAUUUCCCAAAAAAUAAUAUAUGCUAUAAUAGAAAUCAUGCUCAGGAUGAAAAUCCAUAGAAAUAUACCAUGCCAAAGUAUCUCAAUGAAAUGCUAUAAGUAAUCCAGUUAAAAUAUAUCAAUGCCAGAUAUCAUAUCAGCUGGAUCCACCUAAUGUUACCUACAUGGCUAAGUAUAUAGCUCAUAACCAAUCUCAAUCAUAUCAAAUCUUGUACACGAGUCAGAACCACCUAAAGUGGUUUGUACGACAAGACUAGGUGUAAAAUAAAUAUGCUCUAGUGUUAUGAUCACGUGAAGGCUGUGCGAAUGAUUGCGGGUCACCUACGAGUCGGAACCACCUAAAGUGGUCUGUACAACAAGCCUGUGCACCUAACUUGGAUCCAAGGUAAGCAUAUGGUGCGGGGGUUGAACAUCACGUAAAGGACUGUGCCCUAACUCUAGGUGGGAGCACUAACACUGGGGUGCAGGUUUAUGAGCUUUCAAUGCAACACAUCAUAUCUAGCAUAACUAAAGCAAUCUCAUAUCUUUAAUUUAUGAACUUACUUGACACUUACUUGUGCUUCCGCAGCACCAAUCAUAAAUAUAUGUAACUACUAAUGCAUAAAUAAAAUAGGUAGAUACUUUGCAUGGCAUUUCAAAAUGUAUAAUCAUGCAAAUUUAUUUUCUGGAAAAAAUCUCAAGUAUAUAGGUAUAUACAGAAAACCAAAAGCCCACUUACUAAUAUGUCGAAAGGUCAUACCUCCCGAGCCUCGAUUGAUGGCGCUCGUCCUCAGGAUAGGUCUCACCUAUAUACCAAAUAACUAAAUAAACUUUAUUUAAAGCACAUACACAAAACUAGGAAAUAACUUCUUACACAUUGCUCAAAUGGGGUAUUUGAAUAUACUACCAUGACCUACUCAACCUCAGGAACAUCCCCAUAUUUUUGAAAAUUUUUCCGAGCACCCACGCGCCCUCACACGCUGGCUCACGUGUAGGCACGUGCCUUGCACACCAAACGGAUUCCCUAACGGAGUUAGAGAAUAUUCUGUUAAAAACAGCAUAUACCGUUAGAAUUACCUGAUGACGUUAGAAUAUUCCGUCAACUUUGAUGGAAUAUUCUCCUCCUUCUUCCUUGGUUUGUCGGAGUCCGGCGCCGGUGCCACUGCGAUUGCCGAAAACUGGAAAAAUCUUAGAACUUCAAUAUCUUCUUCAUUUCUCAACCAAAAUUCAUGAAAUUUGUACCAAAAUGAAGCUUACAACGAGUAGAACAAAACCUUACCCUAAAAUCCACGAAAUCUUGCCGGAGAAACCUCGAUAAUCCGGCCAAAAUUUGAAACUCGCCAAACUAAGCUUCCCGACGUCCAAAACACUCCAACUUUCUUCCCCGAGCUUCGUGAAGAUGUCCUAAAGCUUCCUAGAACCUUAAAACUCGCUGAAAAGCCCACAAUUACGACUGCAUGAACAAUACUCACAAUCUGAGAUUCUGGGUUCCCGGGUUUUCGAGGUUUUCACGUCCAACCACCACCACCAUUCGACUCCUAAGCUUGCAAGGAGUCCAAAAACACCAAUCACGACCUUGAUCCGUGACGUUUGAAAGGGUUUUGAGGGUUGUCCGUACAGGUUGUAUGGAAAUGGCAAGAAAAUCCGAGAGAGGGAGGAGAGGGAGGGUACAUGUGAGUGGUGUGUGUGUGUGUGUGUGGGUGUGGUCCAGCUUGUUACCAAUGAAAAACAAAGAUAACUUAGUUCUAAUUGGGUCCAAACAAUUAGAACCUAACCUAUUUGGUCCACAUCCAAAACUCAAACCACACGACAUCACACAACGCUCAAGGGUAUAAAAGGAAUUUCCACGCUAUCGAGGAUAAAAUAAUAUACAUUCGGGACGGACUGUCACAGCUCCUGUUCCACAUCAAUCUCUAACAAAUGUCCUCUCUCUCAUUUUUACCUAUUUAUAACAUUGUGACCAUUCAUUACAUUGUUUUGUAACUUUUUAAUGUGAUUUUUGUAUUGUUCAACACACGCCUUUACAAUUUCAGACAGACUGCCACAAUUAGGUCAUUAAGUGUAGCCAAUUCUACGUCAAUCAAGCAAAUUCGGGAGCAACGCAAGAUAAUUGUAACAUAAACGUCCUUUCAUUUUUUUUAAUGAUUGAAACCCUGUGUAAAUUAAGUAUCACACUUGCAGUUUAUUUAGAGACCAAAAGAAGACUAAGUCUUCACACUUGCAAUUUUCUUUAGAAAACAAAAGAAGAUAGGGGAACAUAAUUUCAAUUUCCGUCUUAAAAAAAAGUUAAACAGAAGAUAGCCAAGUUAACACAGAGAACGAAAGUAAACAUAAGUCUCCAAAACCAUUCCUUCAUACUAAACAAAUUUUUUGAAUAAACGAUAGUAUCUACACUAAGAGAGAGGGGAGUAGACUUAGCCUUACAAUUGGCUAGGAAUAAUGUGGUUCAAAUUCGUCUUUGGUGAGAAUCGAACCUAAGACCUCUCACUUACAAGUAAAGAGGAUACCACUAGACUGUAAUACAAAAUUACAAUAAACUUUAUGUAUAUAAAAAAUAGUUUGAAAUGUUUGAGCCAAAAACAUAAAAGUUACUCAUACCUUUACGAGCUAAAGAUAUCAAUGUUAAAGAUUGAUAAGUUAGAGGAGGUAUUUUCACAUCACCACCUGUAUGUGAGGUUUCAAUAAAAAACAGUAAUAUUUAGACUUGUGAAAUUACAUUAUUGCCCAUCAUUUUUUUGUGUGAUAAAAGACUAAUUUGUCUUUUCAUCAUCUUUUAAUUGACAAAAAAGAUUUUAUUAAUUAAUAUUUAUACUAAGAUGUUGGAGAAAUAAAGUAAUUUUGAACUUGUCACUUCCGAGAUUCAGACUUAAAAUCUUUCUUCCUUUAUAAGUAGGAGAAAUGUAACUGCAGUCUGAUGGUUGAAGUAAAUAGUUGAAGUGAGAGUUGCAUCACCUGUGGUGAUAAAACGGGUACCGUUUAAUAAAAACCGUGGAUAAUUCGAAUCCGAAACCAAAAGCAGAGCCUUAACUUAUUUUUUUUGUCCGUGUUAUUCAGCAGGCUUGCUCUAAUCAUUCAUCCCCUUCUUCACCCUUUGCUCUCGUUCAAUUUCCCAAAGGUAGGCCCUCACUCCUCGAUUGCAAUUCUUUACAGCCAGAGCUUUUUGGUUAGGGUUUUUGAUCCAUUUAAUCAUCGCUUUUCUUAUCUGGAUUUGAUCAAUUAAAUCAUGUGUUUUGUUUGAUGGUUAGGGUUUUUUGCAUCAGUUUCUUUUUCUUAAUUUGAUCGAAAUUUAAUUGGCAGACACCCAUUUUGUUUCUUUUCUUGUUAGGGUUCCAGUUUCAAACCAUACAUGCUUUCAUUUUCUUUGUUCAAUUUUUGAAUUGAGCUGCAAUCUAAUAUGUUAAUGAUAAUGGUAAUGACGAUUAGCUCGAGGCCUGAUAUUUAUUUAAAAUUUUCGAAUUUAGUUCAAAACUUCAUCAGGGGUGUUGUUUCUUUAUCAAAUUUUAUACUUCGUGUGACAAGUUUUUGAUUUUGUUGAUUAGUUUGCUUAUUAGAGAUUGAAUAGACGGUGAAGUGUGAAAGAAGAAGAUGUGGGCAGCUUCGUGCCUGGCAUCAUGCUGCGCUGCUUGCGCUUGCGAUGCUUGCAGGACGGUGGUGUCAAGUAUUAGCCGUCGGUCUGCUAGGAUUGCAUACUGUGGGCUCUUUGCGCUUUCUUUGAUCGUCUCAUAAAUUCUCCGCGAGGUUGCUGCUCCUCUCCUGGAAAAGAUUCCCUGUAAGCCACCUCUUCCAUCAUUCCAAUAUUAGUCUGUGGUGUUAUGUUAUCUACUUGUAUUCUGUACACUUGUUUUGAAUGUAUUGUAAUGCUUUAUAAGAAAAUCAUAAUAGAGUAUCAUCAAAUGAGUGAAGAAUCUUACCUUCCCGUGGAAGUUUGACUACAACUAGGUGACGAGAACAAUUAUAUUUCAUCGGCUAAUUUUAAUUCAACUUGGUUGGAUGUGACGCUAGUCUCAUAUUGGUUGUUGAUGCAGGGAUUUCUCAGUUUAAUGAGACACAUAACAGGGAGUGGUUCGAAACAGAUGCAGUGCUUCGUGUUAGCUUGGGGAAUUUUCUCUUCUUCACUAUUUUAUCAGUUAUGAUGGUUGGUGUGAAGAAUCAGAAGGAUCCCCGUGAUAGUUUGCAUCAUGGUGGAUGGAUGAUGAAAGUUAUAUGCUGGUGUCUUUUGGUGAUCUUCAUGUUUUUCGUACCAAAUGAGAUUGUUAGCUUCUAUGGUAAACACUACUAACCAUCAGGGUUUUGUUUUCAUAGUGAAUGAAAUUUCCACUUUUUUUUCUUUGAAUAGUCCCAAGCGCUGGAAUUAAUACGCAAUUGGCAUUUCUUGCCCUGAUUAACAACAACAACAAAGUCUUACCCGCCUAAGCGGGGUUGGUUGUAUGAAUCCUAAAACACCACUGCACUCGGUUUUGCGCCAAGUCUUGCCCCAAUUAACAAUCACAAAUUUUGAACCUACAAGAAGUGUCUGUGGAACCCAUUGCUUAAUGAUUAAAUUGAAUGCAGUUAGUCCUAUAUUAAAGUUUUAAUUCUGAUGUUAGAAUGUAGUCAUUGUUUUAAGUUUUCAGUAUUAAUUUGACUCUUGAAAAAUAGUUAGAUUGCUAAAUCUAAAUGGCUUUAAACAUUGAAGAACUUAAUUAUGGGCUUACGUAGGUUGAACUUAGAGAGUAAUAUUUAAGUUAUAACUCCGCAAUUGUUCCAUAUUUUUCUGUGGAAUGAUUAGUUUUUUGGUUCUCUGUCAGAUCACUCUUAAUUUUUUGGUUAAUUAAAUGUACCUUGGUUAGAGCACAUUCAAGCUUUUAAGGCAACUGGACAAUUGUCAUGAUUUUGUUAGAGUAAUCUGGUGAAAGAAAAGCUUUUUGACCAUGAUCUGUUAUGCAAGGAAAAUGAGAGAAGAUUGGACCACUAUUUGAGAUUAAAAUAAUAUCUGAAGGCUAACUGUACUCCUUCAAGUAAAUUUAUCUCAUAUGUUUUCGUAAGGGAGGAGUGCAGAGUAUUCUUUAUGAAGUAUCAAUAGCAUUUGGAUUAAUCUGUUAUCCUGCUGUGGAAAAUCUUUUCAAUUGUUUGACUAAAUUUGACAGUGAAGUAUCAUGUUUGCAGAGACAAUUUCCAAGUUUGGCUCAGGAUUUUUUCUUCUUGUACAAGUUGUACUUCUGUUGGAUUUUGUUCAUGGAUGGAAUGACAAAUGGGUUGGAUAUGAUGAGAAGUUCUGGUUCGUGUAUUAUUUUCUUUAGUAUCUAUUAUUCAAAUUCACAUUUCUACAUCUUUAACUGAUUUUAACUUGUAUCUUCCUCGCUAUAUAUAGGUACAUUGCACUUUUUGUUGUUUCUCUUGUUUGUUAUCUGGCAACAUUCGUCUUCUCUGGACUUCUUUUCCAUUGGUUCACACCAUCUGGACAAGACUGCGGGCUCAACACCUUCUUUAUUGUCAUGACUCUCAUGUGUGUCUUCGGGUUUCUUAUAGUGGCACUGCAUCCUUCGGUAAGUUCGUAAAUAUGCAUGUUUUUACUUUUAUUGUCAUACUAUUGUAGCCAAUGAUAAUUGGUUAUCAAGAAAGGAACAGGAAAAGAAGAAAGCAGGCCCCACAGUUGUAUGAUACAUUCAUGCAAAGAUACAACUGAAAAAAAUUAAAAAGGACUAACAAAACUUGUAUAAGGUUGUGAGAUCGUUGCAUUAUUGUUACUGUCUUUAUGUGCAGAGAGACUAGUUAUAGAUUCAGUGAUAGACCAGAAUUACAGAGCACAGAGCCAAUAAAAUCCACCGUUGUCUUAUUUUAUUUUUUUUUCAGGAGGAAACAUCCUAUUCUAUUUCCUUAAGAUUGCGCAAAAAAAAAAAGCAAUUAAAACUCGAAAUUAUAUGAUAAAUUGACACUUAUUUAAGCAUGUUCUGUAGAUAACAUAAUAAUUGGGUCAAAACCAGAAGAAUAUCACUCUCCAGGUUAUGGUGAUGAGAGCUUGAUUCAAUUUAUUAUUUUUCCCCCCUGCAUUCUGACUAGAGCAACACAUUUCUCCAUCUUAGAUCCAGUUAACUUAAAGAGUAUAUACUGCUUGGCAUAUUUAUACUGUGGAGUAAAUUUUGUUAUGAAUAGUACUGUGAUUAAUUAUGAUUUUAAUGUUAUACAGGUAAGUGGCAGCAUUUUGCCCGCGUCAGUUAUAUCUAUGUACUGCACGUACCUCUGCUACAGUGCACUUGCCAGUGAACCUAGGGACUAUGAGUGCAAUGGUCUUCACAAGCACUCCAAAGCUGUUUCCACCGGGACCCUUACCUUUGGGUUGCUAACCACUGUUCUUUCUGUGGUUUAUUCUGCUGUUCGUGCUGGAUCUUCCACAACUCUUCUCUCCCCACCAAGUUCUC